This 49421-nucleotide long non-coding RNA is filed under the name Populus trichocarpa (black cottonwood). RNAcentral's name for it is "long non-coding RNA (PTRI_LNC003583)". The record is from RNAcentral. Lineage: Eukaryota; Viridiplantae; Streptophyta; Magnoliopsida; Malpighiales; Salicaceae.
AGUGGCUUGUUUCAAGUUGGGAGGAUUUUGGAAGCAAAAGAGCUUUUUAAGGAUAUGCAUGCCCAGGGCUGCUCCCCAGAUCUAGUAACUUACUCAAUUUUGCUUGAUGGCUUAAGCAAACAAGGUUGCCUUGAUCAGGCAUUGGAACUAUUUCAAGAAAUGCAAAACAAUUACUUGAACCCUGAUUUGGUGAUCUAUAAUAUCUUAAUUGAUGCCAUGUGCAAAUCUGGGAAGCUUGAAGAUGCAAGGGAGCUGUUUUUGAAACUCAUUGUCAAAGGAUUGCUGCCUGAUGUUCGAAGUUGGACCUCAAUAAUCAGUGGACUUUGCAGAGAAGGAUUGCUAGAUGAAGCAUACAAAGCUUUCAGACAAAUGGAAAGGGAUGGCUGCCCACCAGAUUGUUGCUCUUACAAUGUUAUUGUCCGAGGAUUUCUCCAGAGCAACAGUGCAUCAAGGGCUGAACAACUUUUUCAGGAAAUGUUUGAUAGAGGAUUCUCUGCAGAUGCCCUGACCAGAACCUUGGCGGCAGAUCUGUUGUCUAAAGAUGACAAUCUUGGUUUGAAGAGGUUGCUCGGUGAAUCUGAAUGUUGUCAAGGUGAAAAGGUGAUGUAAAAUUGUAAAUUUUCCGUACCCAGUGCUGCUAGUUGUUGGUGCAAAUAUUACAUGACUUCUCUUGGUUCAAUCCUGUCGCAAUUUUAACAAUAUUCACUUUCUUUUGUUUCAUGUAGUUCUUACUCUUUAGGACUGGCAUUCACCUAUUCUAGGUUAUAUAUUCAUGCUAGUUCUUUUAUGUGUAUCCAUAAAUAUAGUGUUGGGUAGAUUACCUGAAUGAAAGUCAUUCAAGUUUUCCUGUAAGUUAUUAACUUAUUUAAAUGUUUAUCAUCUUGAAUGACUCCAAAGACUCUUUUGCUUCAAGCACCCCGGAUUUCUUCAUACAUCAGUUCUUGCUGAAAACAAUCCCUGUCCUACUGUAUUUGCUAGAUUCUUGGUCAUUGUGCAUUUCCGUAUGAGGAUGGAUGCUACUCCCACUUUUACAAAUAAAAACAAAAGAAUAUGGGUGUGAUGCCAUUGAGUUUUGUUUUGUUUAUGCUUGUUUGUUUGAUCUUUUGAUCUGUUUGUGGAUUUGGGUGAUAUAUUAAUGGUAUGUUACCUGGAAAAGAACUUUAGAUCUUAGUGUUAAGUAUUCUAGAAUUCGCAUCAGAUGUUUCAGAUCAAGUAGGUACAAGUGCUUAUAUAAAUUUGUGGUUGAUUAGAGUUAAACAAUGAAAACAAUUUAAUUUUUCUCUAAGUGAUUAAACAUAUUUGAAUUUUCAUAUUAAAUAACUUUCAAUACAUGUAUAUGUAUGCUAUCUUUUUUUUUUCCCGCGAUAGUUUCUUUUGUUUGUGGAUAGGAUUGUAUGUCUUUUUCUUUGUUGAAUAUAUGCAUGUUAUGUUUUCAAGAAAAUAACCCUGUAUCUUGAAGUUUUAUGUUGUACAGUGGGAAUUAAACUUCUUGUGAUUAGCAACUAGGCAGGUCGGAUUUGGAAGAAGAGUUUUGAUAUAAUUUUGAUUUGCAUAGGAUGAUUGAGAUCAUGUGUACAAAGGGAUAUAGGCUGGCCAUUUAUGAUUGUUUUAGCAAAUUGUUGUUAUAAUUAUGUUUGAAGCUGAGGUAUUGAUAUGCUGGCAGUAAUACUAAAACAUUCAAUGCUAAAUGCUUGAUGCUUAUGAAAUUGAGAGUUGAAUUCCUUGUAAUUAUUGAGAUUAGGCAGCAGAGUGAUAAAAUUAUUUGAACAUUUUCAUGCAGGAAAACUAACAUGAAUCUGGUGAAUUAUUCCUGUGAAACAAUUGCUGUAUGAUGUUUCUUUGCAUGACCAUACGUGGAGGAUAAACAUGAUGUGCUUAGAACUUUCCAGAAUCAUACUUUAUGUUCUUAUCUAUUUUGCUUAUCUCUAUUUAUUCUUCAAAUUGAGAAAUCAAUCCUGUGUAUUAUGGAUAAUUAUUUUACACACCUCUUACUGCGGGCAGGAUAAGAUACAUUUUGUAGAAAAGGAGAAAUGAGAGAAGAAGAUGCAAAUUAAUCUUGUAUAGAACACGAACUCCGACAUGCCUAUACAAAUCUGUUUAUUACAUUAGAUGAAAGAAUCGGUAUUGAGUCCAUAGAAAGUAGCAUGUACUUCUAAUUUGAACUACUUAUCCUCUAUUUAGAUGCUAUGUUAUUGAGGUGAUAUGACAUUGUUUUUCAUGCAGCAAUACUCAUAUUUGCUUUUUUCUUCCAAGAGACCUUGUGGUCGUUGGGUUUUACAAGUUUGAAACUAAGAUGUGUUUGUCAAAUGAUCCAUUAUUGAGAUUUCAAAAAUGAGUUGCUAUGAUAUAUAGUCACCUGAUCUCAAUUCUAUAUUAUGUUAAAUUUGACAAAGAUUUUCUUCACAAAAUUUGUCUGGAGGUCUGCAAAUGUUACUCUUCACUCCAGAUUCUGGGAGUUAGACCAGUUUCAGAACUCAAAUUAAUGUGCUUUUUUCUACCAGGAAAUUAUCUCAAGUUCUACAAUGCCAUAAGAAGUGCCUAUCCCGACAUCAAAAUAAUCUCAAACUGUGAUGGGUCUUCUCGUUCUUUGGAUCACCCAGCUGAUUACUAUGAUUAUCAUGUAAACAUCCUGUCAUGAUAGCUUUGUUUUCUUUCUGGUUUGCAGUAUUGUACUUUUGCAUAUUUUCAUCAGUCAGAAAACACAAUGUUAAUCCUCUUUUAUUCUUUGAACUAGGUUUAUACAUCUGCCAGCAACCUGUUUUCUAUGACUCAUAAGUUUGAUUGCACAUCCCGCAGUUGUCCAAAGGUGUGUCGUAUGCCUUUUGACAACAUACUGACUAAAAUAUGUGACAAAUAUUCAUGGGAUUUACUAUUUUUGAGGCUUCUGUGAGCAACGAUGCUGUGACUGGAAAAGAUGCGGGCACAGGAAGUCUUUUAGCUGCACUCGCUGAAGCCGGAUUCCUCAUUGGUCUAAAAAGGAACAGGUUUGUAAUACUUGUUCCAGCAAUCUUAAGUUAUUUGUCAAUGUGCUAUUCAGUGAUCGAGGGUCUGAAAUUUUUAAUGCCUUCCCACUCUCUUUCCCCGCGGAGGGGGGUUGAACAAAUUAAUAAAGAACUCCUUUGAAAUAGUGAGUUCAAACAAUUCCCAGAUCAUCAUUCAUGGUAUUCUGGUUCAAAUUUGAUGCCAUGGCCAAAGUAUUCUUUUUGUGUUUUCAUACUCACGAAAAUUCCAAUUCUUGAGGCGUUUAUCUCCCCAUUUCUGUGGUAUUGUGUAGAUGGCAAGCUAGGCACCACUUUUCUGUGAAUUGCAGUAAUAGGAGGUCCAAUCUCAUUCUAUUCCUCAAUAAUUAAUUCAAAUUCAAGCAUGCAUGGCAAGGGAUAUCAUUUUCUUUUCAGGGUACUGACAUUGAAAGGAACUUUUCUAUGAAGGUGGAAUCCAGAUGCAAUUGUCUUCAACUCAUCAAAGCACUAUGGAACUCCGAGCUACUGGGUGCAAAAAUUCUUCAGAGAGUCAAGUGGAGCAACUCUUCUUGACGCUAAGCUACAGACAAAUUCCUCUACACUUGUUGCAUCUGCAAUUACUUGGCAAAAUUCAAACUUACCUGAAAAUAAAGGUAUGCUAAUACCAGCAUAGUUUGCAGGGAUCGUGCCCUAAACACCAAUUUUAAGUUUUUAUCCCUUUUUUUUUUUUGUCAAUGCUGCAAGUUUGAAUCCUUUUUGCAAUUUAACAAAUAUGGCUUAAUCCAUCGAGUCAACUUUAGUGGUCUUCCCAACAUGACAUGCUGCCGCUGGCUGACGACAAAACACAAACACACGUAAAAUCGGGUUGUAAGAGUUUCUGUUUGAUUUUUUCCAGCCAAGUUCUUACUUUCAGGAAAAUGUAUUUUUCAGAUUGUGAAUUUUGGGAACAGCAAAGUGAAUCUCAAAGUUUCUAUUGAUGGAUUGGGGCUCAGCUCACGAUUGUCUGGAUCAACAAAAACUGUGUUCACUUCUUCUAAUGUAAUGGACGAGAAUUCCUUCGUGGAUCCAAAAAAGGUUUCUGACAUCGUUGUCAUGACCCUCAUGAAUUUUCAAUGACCUCAGAACCUUUCAAUUCCAGUUUAUGUAGCAAAUCUGCUAACUGUCUUGGCUUCUUCACGUAAUGCAGGUGGUGCCAGCCCAAACUAUGCUCGAGAAUGCUGACAAAGACAUUGAUGUUGUGCUCUCUCCAUGUUCUUGAACUUCAUUUGAUUUGGAGUGCAAAAAUCAAUUAAUAUUUUAAUUUUCUAGAAAAUUAGAGUACACAAAAUAAAACUUGAACUUUCUGUUCGAAUUUAAUAUUUCUCUAUCAAGAAAUUUUUAAAAGUAGUUUUUUAAAUUUGUGUUGAAUUUGAAAAUUACUCUUAAGAGGCACUCCACAGUUUUUAAAUACAAGGUUUUUUUCUUUCUAUUUUUUACUUUAAGAAAAAAACAUGAACAAUAUAAUUUUCUCCUUUAUAUACAAGCAUUUUUUAACAAUGUAAAAGAUUAAUUUAUUUCUUAUAUAUAUUUAGUGAUUACUAUUAAUAUAAUUUUUAUUAUAAAUCUAAUAUAAAGAUUUUUUAAGUUAAUAAUAUAAAUCUUUAAUGAUAAUUUUUAAUUUGAAUAAAAUAAAAUUAACAUUCUAUAAUUAGAUAUCACAAAUAUAAAAUAUUAAGAUAAUAAUUAUAAAUUAUGAUUUUGCUUUUGCUUUUUUAUAAAAACUACUUGUAUUCUUGAUUUAUUUUUUUAUUUUUAGAAAAAUACAUUUUUGUUAACAAAAAUGAGCAUGUUUUUUAAAAUUUUCAUUUUCCAUAGAAAACUAAAAAAAAGUUGUUUUCUAUUUCUGAUAACAUCUUAAUCUUUCCAGGCUGCUAUUAUAGUUGUUAAAUCUAAUUUAACUUGGCAGAUUGACUAGGAUAUUAGCUUGUUAAACAUGGCUUGUUUUUUAGAAACUUUGGUUGACUCCGUCACAUCCAAUUCAAAACCAAUUGGGUUAAUAUUUUGUAAAUUAAAAAAAAAAUUUAUUUCGAUGAUAAAAAUAGUUGAUUCUGAUCCAAUGAUUUUGUCGCAAGUGGAUAUUGUAGUGAGCUACCGAGUGAAAAAGAGAUAACAAUGAAAUAGUUUUAUAAUAACUAAAUACUUUAAUUAGUUUUUUAUAAUUUCAGAUUGGAGAGGUUGAUUAUGUAAUAAAAAGAUAGAUAUUACUCUGUAUAUCAUGCCUAGAAUAAAUUGUAUUAUUGUUUGCUUUUAAUAAAAAAAAUGUUUAAUGUGUCUUAUAAAAUAUUUUUCUAAAAUGAUUUUAGUAUCAUUUCUACCCAAACUUUUAAGAAUAAAUUUCAUUAAGAGGUUAUUUAUAUUGAUGAAUGGACACUAAAAUUACCAUCAAAAUUCAGUAUUGAAUAUAUAUAUAUAUAAUUAUUUUUAGGAUAACUUUGAAGGAUAAAUAUAAUUUUUUAUGAUGAAUCCUGGCUGCAGGAAAAAACAAUUAACAGAUUCAGCCAGUUGGAUCUACCAGGGCCAGAUGAGCUUCCUUUUCUGUGGAAUAUUUCAAUUCUUUUUUCGGAAAUUAUUACAUGAUAUUAUCAAACCCACAUUCUCCUCCUAGGUAUGUAUUUGCUGCUGCUGGUGGUCUUCUUCGAUGCUGUUUGGAUAUGCUGCUGCGGUCGUGGUUGAAAUUAAAAUUUAUAAUAUGGUGUUUGGUUAACACCAACCAUAUUUUUUUUAUGUGAAUCCCAGGCCAAAACUAAGGUUGGUUGGACUGCAGUUUUUGAAAAGCAAUUACCCAUUGCUUUUCAUGCGUUUUCUCCUCUCUCUCAUCACUGACACUUUUCCCUUACUUUCCCAACAGUUCCAAAACUUUCCUGUUUCUCACCCAAAUUGUUCACAGCACGGUUAAUUGACAGAUCAAUUUGGCCAUUGAUCUACAAACUCUCAUUUUCCACCUUCCCCAGACUGUUCCCCUCUCUCGUCACUAUGUAACAUGAUCGAAUGUUUUUUUGGGGUAUGGAAACAGAGGUGAAAAAUUUUACAAAACAUAUUUGUUUAUCCAUACAAAACACAAGUUGAGAUUGUAGUUGUAUCAAUGGUAUUACAUAACUAUAUUAGAAGGAUAUCACAAGAUGAUGCAGUUUUUUCUGAGUAUGAUCGCAACCCCAAUUUAAUUUCAGAUGACUUUUUACUUGAUAUUGUUCAGGCUUUGGCCGUUCAAGGCUCACAGAGGCCUUCACGUAUGGAUUUUUGUACUCGAUGGAAUUGCAAAUAGUUUGAUAGAACAAUAAAGGAGUACAUUAAUGUAUAAGGAUUUUUCAUUUUGUUAUGUAAUCAUAAUUACAAAACACCUAUGUUUUGGAAUUAUAUAUAAGUGUCUAAAUAUGUUAUUUUAAUUAAUUCAAAUCAAAUAUAAAACACAAAGCAUAUUAUAACCAGAUACAAGAAAAUAUUUUUUUUAGCUACAAUUUAACCAUAGUUUUACCAAACACAAAAAUGCUUUUUUUCCACCACAAUUUCAACCACAGCUCUUUAACCCAACACAAUAAAUUGUUUUUUUUUAAAACCACAACUUCAAUUACAAUUGUAACGAAACACCAACUUUUUUUUAAAAUCAAUCUCACACAAAAUAUUUUUUAUUAAAUUAUUUUUUUUAAAUCAUAACUAUAAAAAUUACCACAAAAUCAAACAUAUUUUUUUAAUUAUUGGUGAUGAUGGAGGCAGAACCAGCUGCGGAAUGUUGAUAACAUUUUCUCUAUGCUCUCAAGAACUAAUAGAGGUAUCAAUUUCAGGACUCAAUCUUAAUUAUAAUAAUCAGAGGAAGGGUCCCACAAUUAUGGCACACACCACGAGGUAGUUUAUUGGAUGGCGUGGCAGUGAUGUCAUGAACCAAGACGUGACUCGGUGCUGACUCGGACUUGCUUUUUCGAAAACUAAAUUUGGAGGGAAAAAGCGAAGAGAAAGCGGGGAUGUCGGUGGGCUUGAGAGAGAGAGAGAGAGAGAGAGGAAGUCGUUUUGUGAUGAAAGAGAGAGAGAAAGGAGAGCCAAAGAAGAAGAGAAAGAGAGCAAGCGAAGCAGAGGAGAAAGAGCCGCGUCUGGUCAGAAUCAAGUUUCAACUUUCAACUUUCAACUUGCAACAACCCUUUCCGUUUUUUAGGCUUCUUUUGAAAGAAAGGCAUCCAUGAUCCAUCCAUGUUUCCCUGCCCAGGCUGGCGUUCAAGACUUUUUAUUUUUUAUUUUUUAUUAAUAUAAAUAUUUAGAUAGAUAUUUAGACGAUCAUAUAAAUUUUUAAUAAUCUUAAAUUUAUAAACGAUAAAGACAACCUGGACACGAUAAUGAUGGAUAUUUUUUUUGUACAGACAAAUAACUAUAUAAUUAUUAUUUUAUUUCGUGAUAGAAGUCACCGUAACAAUGUAUCUGAUUAAAGUAAAGGUGGAUGUAUUUUUUAGAUUUUGUUUUUUUUACUGAAUUUUGUUAUUUUUUAAAAUAGAACAUCUUCGAUUUUCAGGACUCGGCAGCCUCUGUUAGCUUUUUAUGCAAAGUUCUUGAAUGCGCUGCUGAGUUGCUGUUUUCCACCUUGCUACUUGGCAGAUUGUUACUGGAGGAUAGUUAGCUGCGGCCUCCCUAGGUUUUUUCUAAUGUAAAAAAUAUGUUAUCCGAAGUUCUUCACUUCAAAAUCAAUUCACCGAUCAUGGGCAUAUAAAAGCAAGGAAAAAGCAAGAAUACCAAUUCAAUCAAUGGGUCCAUUGCUUAGUUCCCUCCAUCAUGAUUCUGUAAGAUUUUUCCUUUUAUUUCUAAGAACCAAACAAGCCACAUCUUCACUCAUGCCCUUCCAGGAUUGCAACACAUGUCCGCUAAAGCUACUUUAAUUCAGACCUUUUUAAAAAAAUUGAACAGAUCUGAAUGGAAUGGAGGUCCAAUUGAAUGACACUAUCUUCAAAGUGAACUGCAGGUUCCACGAAGGAACGUAUGCUGGAAGCAAACGGGGUUGACUAUAAGAAACGAAGAGUGGAAGAGUCAUUUGCGCUUCGAUUCCCUUCAUCAAAUCUUGUCGCCUUCAAUGGCCGCUCCCCUGUCUUGCAUAUUGAUGGUGUGUGCUAAGGCGAUUGAAGGUGGUCGCUUGGAUGUUGCAGAUUCACUUUUGGCAGUAAUUCAAUCUCUAGCUUCUAAAGAGGAGAGCAUAUGGAGGAGGAAAGUUGUCAAAUACUUUGCUGAGGCUCUUGUCCGGCGAGCCUAUGGAAUUCGUCCUCCAUUUCCUUUACCCUCGCUACCUUUUCUAUACGAACCAGAGGCAACUUUAUACAAGUUAGCUAGAGUCACCAGUGAACAUGGCAUCGCUGAUUCCUUGAAUUCGGGAUAUAAAAGACUCCACAUUAUUGACUUCUCCAUCGUGUUCCAGUUUUGGCGGUGGAAUUAUUUAAUUGAAGGCCUCAAAAGGCAGUAUGGUGGCCUACAAUCAGUCCUAAUAACCAGUAUCACACUGAAACUGUCAAAACACACUGACUAUCUCCGUGAAAACCGGGAAUGCGCUAAGGGCAGAAAUUUGGAAUUGAGGCAAUUGAUAUGCAAUAGUCCGGAUGAUAUUGUCAAUUGUAUUUCCAAACUCAGAAGGAAAAGUGAGGAUGAGGUGGUGGUUGUGAAUUGGAAUUUUAUACUCCACAAAUUGCUUGCACAAGAUGGGGCAAUGGAGCAAGUUCUUUCAAAAGUGAAGGAUUUGGGAGCGGACAUCAUGGUAAUUGUUGAGCAAGAAGCCAAUCUUAACAGCCCAGAUCUUUCGGAGCGGCUCGAACAAUCAUUCCAAUACUACUCCCCUUUUUUUGAGUCACUGGAGGAAGAUUAUGAUAGCGAUGUGUUAUGGGAGAUGUAUUUCAGGCGACAGAUUGGGAAUGUGGUGGCAUGUGAGGGCGUUGACCGGGUCGAGCGGAUUGAGUCAUUUGCUCAAUGGAAAAAUCGCAUAUGUCAGGCUGGGUUUUGUCCAGUUCCCCAACAGGUAGACAAGUUGAAGAUAGAUUUUGGAUUAAAUCUUGUUGAUCAUCGAAUCGAAGAGAAGGAAGGGCAUAUCCUGCUACUUUGGCACGGGUUUCCGCUAGCUGUAGCCUCAGUUUGGAAGUUCACUGGUCCACCUCAAUUCAGUGGCGGUGAAUAAUCCAAUUCCAUCCUUUCCUUUCUCUUCUCUUGUUAUACUAAUUAUUCAUCAAUAAAUUCGUUGUGUGUAUUUUCACUUUAGGCGACUGGAAAAACAUGUUGACAGGUCUUUACACAAUGCAAGAUACAGUUGAUGACUCAGAAGGGAUGGCGAGCUCCUCUGAGUCUGAGGAUGAUGAAGAAAAUGAUUCUCUAGUUUCCAUAAUGGCAGAUAGAAACUUAUGGUCCACGCAGGUAUCGUUCUUUGUUUCCGAGAUUGAAACAAAUUUCUUAUUUUUUUUAGUUUAAUAUGGAUGUUUGGUCAGCUUGCGUGUACCUCAACUAAUUUUACAAGCUCUGAAGUUAAUGAUCAUGUAAACCUCCAAUAACAAUCAUAUAAGCAAUUACAUGGCUCGAAUCUGAAACCACAGAAUAAACAAAUCUUUUAAUCUUAAAUAUUUACCACUGUACCACAUCUAGAUAGUUAAAUUUCCUAGUUUUAUCUUUAUGCCAUGGGGAGAUUGCAACAACUUUAAAUUCUUUAGACAAAUUAGAAACGUACAAUAUAAUUCUUGCUUUGAUAAAAAGGUACAAUAUACUUCUUUUUUAUAACUUUAUGCCAUUAUUGAUGUCGUUGAUCUCACAGGGCUCUUCAAUGAAGCGAAUAGCUGCUUCAGCUAAGCUAUAUGACAUAUUGGAAUAUAUAUGUCAUCUACAUAGGUUACCACUGGCAGUGACAUGGAUUUCCUAUGGCCAAGAUGGUAAUACAAAUUCAAAGGGAAAACGUAUUCUAUGUAUUGAUGAUAGCGCUUGCUAUGUAAAUCAUUGGAAAAUGGAUAGAUUUGUGGAUGAAUAUGCACGAUAUCGUCUCGAGGAAGGACAGGGUAUCGCCGGAAAAGCACUUCAAUCUAAUAUUCAUAUCCAGCAUGACAUUUCCCUGCUUGAUCCAGCUGAAUUCCUUGAUGAAGAUUACGGACCUAGCUGGUGCCACGAAGACUAUCAUGCUGCUUUUGCUAUAAGGCUAACAAGUACCCACCCUUGCAAGGAUGAUUACGUACUGGAAUUUCUUCUCCCUAUAUUCAGAAUGAAAGAUACUUCAGAACUAGUACUUUUGAUAAAUAAGGUCUUGCGUACAUUGCAGAGGAAAUGUUUAAAGAUGUGGGAAGUUAGUGUCAGAGAAGUACAUGAGGCGAGCGGCUCUGAAGUUAGAUUGGAUGAUGAAAGAAUGCCAAACAUCCCACAUGAAGAUGGUGUUUUAGAAGGAAACGAAUUCAUGGCAGUGAACCCAACCAGCAAUCAAGCAGAAGAAACACGCGAGCCUCUUGAACAGGUGCUCUUCUAUACUGAAUUCAUGUUAUUUUUUUCUUCAAGAAUGAGUUGAUUGAUAUUUAUUUUUUAUAAUAAUUUUUUAUUUAUUAUAUUUGAUUCUUAUUUUUAUUUAAUUUUUUAAUUUAUAAGAUCAAUUUCUUAUUAUUUUAAUAAAUUUAAAAUAAAUAAAAUAUUAAUAAGUUAUUUUCCAGUUUUUUUUCAUAACAUAGCCAAAUAUCAAAAAAUAUUUUUUAACUUAUUUUUUAUAAUAUUAUCAAAUAUCUAAAAAUAAUUUACUUUUUAAAAAUUCAUUUUAAAAAAAAUUACAUAUCAGCAAACAAACAGAACCUAUAUGUUGUUUGCUAUAAGAAAUUCUAGCCAGCUCUAAUACCUAAAUAAUUGGAUUCUAGGUUAUAUAGGUCAAAAAUACCAAAUUAACUCAUUUUCAUUUAAAAACAUUAAAAAAAACUUUUUAAUGAGUUCAAAAUUAAAAGUCAAACUAAAUAAAAAAAAUCUACAUGUGAUUCGCUACAAGAAAUUCUAGACAACAGAAUUGGGUUCAAGGUUAUUGAGACCAAGAAACUCUAAAUCAUCUGCCUUGUCAGAUAGACAGAAAAGACCCUCUGUUUUGGAUGGACACCCAUCAUGUGUCCAAUCACUGCCUUCUAUGUGGCAGAUUUCCUGCCGCCGAUUGCGCAAGGGGUGGAAUAAUUAUUGUUCAGUAGAUAAAUUACAUUUGAUAAUUCGAAUAUAAUAAAAUCCAUUUUGCCUCCGUUUUGCUUGUAUGUUCAACUAUUGAAGAAGACACAAUCUGCCAUUAUUAUUGACUGGAGUUGGCCUUCAUGCUGCCAAUAUCCUACUUCCCUAUCUCUUGACAGGACGUCCAAGAACAAUCUGCUAUACCUGCACCCGCUCUGAAUGGUGAGAAUGCAUCGCUUAGUGUAGAUGGUGGCUUCCAGAGUACUAAUAAACGAAGAAAGAUAUCAGCUGUGUGGGAUGGGUUCGUUAAGCAUACGGCAGAAAACGGGGAAGAAUGGGCCACGUGUAAUUAUUGUAAGAAGGAGUAUAGAGCAGAAAGCAAAAGAGGAACUUCAAAUUUGCACAAGCACUUAAAAAAUUGUUCGCCAAGCAGACAAGACGAAGCAGAGCAGCAAAUUUUGGUUGGGUCAGGUGACUUGAGUACAAGCGUCAUCCAAAGGAAUUUUGUCAUAGAUCAAGAAAGAAGUCGUCUAGACAUUGCAACAAUGAUUAUUAAGCAUGGAUAUCCCUUGGAUAUGGUUCAACAUGAGUUUUUUGAAAUUUUUGUGAAGAAUUUGCAGCCGGUGUUUAAACUUUAUUCAAGAGACGUAGUUGAAGCUGAUGUCCUUUCUAUUUGCAGACAAGAGAAGGAGAAACUCAUCAGUUUUUUUGAUAAUCUCUCUUGUCUCUUGAGUUUAACACUUGAAUUGCGGUCAUCUAAUGACAACAUGAUGACGUACUGUUGCUUCACUGUGCACUUCAUUGACGAUGGAUGGCAGCUGAAGAAGAAGAUUCUUGCUUUCAGGAACUUACGGUACAACUAUGACAUGGGGACUGUACAUGAAGUCUUUAAUAGUGUGCUUACAGAGUGGAGCAUCAACAAGAACGUUCGCUUCAUAUUCCUGGAUGUAACUCCUCCAAAGGAUCACACGAUUGGAGAAUUAAGAAGUAAGGUUUCUGAUCAAGCCCCACCUAUCCAUGGACAUCUUUUCUGUGUUCCUAGUUAUGCCCAAAUUCUCAGUCUCCUUGCUCAAGAUGGAUUUUCUGAGACAAGGAGUGUGCUUUAUAAGAUAAGAGAAUGUAUAGAGUACGUCAAAGGAAGCUCACUUGUAAGGCAGAAGUUCCUGGAGGCAAUUAAUAAUGGGAGUUUGCAGGACAGGGAAAUGCCUACUCUAGAUGUUCCCGCGAGAUGGGACACCACCUUUCUUAUGCUGGAGAGUUCAUUGGAAUUUAGAACAGCUUUUAAUCACCUAGAGCAACUCGAUGAUGAUUUCAAAGUGAAUCCAUCUGCGGAAGAAUGGAACAAAGCAACAGUCGUAUUUGAGUGCUUGAAGGAGUUCUGCAAGUCAACAUGCAAUUUUCCAACAAGCAGAGAGGAUUAUUUCCUUAAUGUUGGUGAUGUUUAUAAGAAUUUGCUUAAGUGGGAACAGAGUGAUUAUGUAUAUGUUCGCGCUAUGGCAAAUAGAAUGAAGGGAAAAUUUGACGAGUAUUGGGGAGAAGCUAGCUUGGCUUUGGGAAUCUCAGUAGUUCUUAACCCAAGCUAUAAAUUGGACAUUUUUGAGUACUACCAGCAGAUAUACGGCAGUGAUGCUGACUUGCGCUACUACCAGAAAUUCCUUGACAAUCUUAUAUGUGAAUACAAUAAAUAUGCAAAGGACUUCCGCAGUCAGGGACCAUCUUCUUCUGCCAUGGCGGACGUGAGUCGUUGUACAUCAUCUUAUAUUAGUUUCAAAGAGUGGCGCAAGGGUAAGUAUGAACGCAACAUGGUGCACUCACAAUGGAAUGAGCUUGAUCAGUAUCUACAACUGCCGCCACCAGAGAACUUGGAUAAGGAUGGUAACGUAUUAGCUUGGUGGCAAGACAAUGCUCAAAAUUUUCCAAUACUGGGAAAAAUGGCUCGUGAUUUUUUAGCAAUUCCAGUAUCAACUAUCAUUUCCAAGUCAUCAGAGGUUAUGAAGAUGGCAUCAGUCCAUGAUGGUGUUCGUCCUGAGAUAGCUGAGGAUUUGAUAUGUGGAAAGGAUUGGUUGGACAGCCCAAACUGAAAGUAAGUUUUCCUUUUCUUUUUGCUUGAUUUAAGUGUGAUGCUUUUAUAUCUCUGCUAUCUGUUUAUUUAUUUCUUCUUCUUCUUUUUUGCUUCAGCAAUUGAUCCAUGUUUGGAUCCUCACUGGUAGUUGCAAGUACUGUGAAAUAAGUCUGUCCCAGGUAAACACUGGCCUUCCUGAUUCCUAUUAUGUUUCUAAAUUAUUACCUGUGAUUAAAAUUAUUAAAAAAAUUCUUCAAAAACAGUUUAAUAUUGAAAUUAAAAUAAUAAUAAUUAAAGUACAAUUUGAUCUAAAUUCCCAGAUAAUUUUAACAAUGUAGCCAAAUUGAAAAGAGAAAAACAAAGGACCAUUUGAAAACGUUUCGAAACUUGUAUUAAGGUUUUCCUUUCAGUCUUUUUCUCUGGGUGAGAGCAAACCGAGGUAGAGCUCACUUUCCUUAUCCAAAAGAACCACACAGAAAUGCCACAGGCAACGUAAACUAGGAAACCCUCAAAGCCAAAAAGAUUGCAGAUUUCCUUUCAAUCAAAACGAAAAUGCCCCUCCUUCUCUCCAAUCCUCUCACCUCGCUCUCUUCACUUCCCCCCUUUUCAUCUCCAUCUUUGGCCUUCAUUGCAACACCAGGUACCCACUUCUUUAGAUUUGUCUCGUGUUUGCAGUUUUUGCUAAUAUGGGCUGUAUCGACGGUGAAUUUUAUGAUUUCUGCUUUUCAGCACUUGUUAGUAUAAGCUUAUUUGGUUUCACUUCAUGCUCGCUUGGCCGUUUCAUCAAACACUUAUCACUUGCUUCCUAAGUUCAACCAGUUCUUGGAUGCUCGUGCUUUCUAUAUUAUUUCUAGGAAGACUGGUCUUUUCUCUGUUAUAACCACCGAUUCAAUGUGGGUUUUGCUGAAAAUUCCUAAAUAUUUGAUCUUCUCUUGGAUUUAGUAUUAAAGGCUCAUAUCUGAAUUUUGUGCUCGUGCUUUCUAUAUUAGUUACUGUGAAGUUUGUUUAUUUUGCUGCUGUGAACCAAUAAUCGAAUCUGGGCUGUGCUUAAAAUUACGAAAUAUUUCAUCUUUCACUUUAAUUUAGUCUUCAAGACCCAUAUCUGAAUUUUCAAUGACCUCAGAACCUUUCAAUUCCAGUUUAUGUGGCAAAUCUGCAAACUGCUUUGGCUUCUUCACGGUAUGCAGGUGGUGCCAGCCCAAACUAUGCUCGAGAAUGCUGACAAAGAUAUUGAUGUUGUACUCUCUCCAUAUUCUUUAACUUCAUUUGAUUUGUUAACAGAAUCAAACAAUAUCAGGAUGCCACAAACAGAUUCUUUCUCUAGAUCAUCAAUUUAGAAAAAUAAAUUAAUACAUGAUGUGUAAUUAUAGGAAACAAUCAAAAUAAUGUUAUCUGUGGCUGGCUGGUGUCUUUGCCUGUAUUUAUGUUAAUUUUCGUUGGCUAAUCUCACCUUGUAAACCUGUUGUGUGAAGAAUCUUUCAUCCAUAAGGUACCAUAUUUGAUGUUACCCUACCAAUGGUGAAAGAAGGGCCUGCCUCUAAGCUUGACAGUGGAUGGAAUAGGCUGUUUAAAAAUAAAUUAAUAUUUUAAUUUUCAAGAAAAUUGGAGUACAAAAAAGAAAACUUGAACUUUCUGUUCGAAUGUAAUAUUUCUCUUUCUAGAAAUUUUUAAAAGUAGUUUUUUAAAUUUGUGUUGAAUUUGAAAAAUACUUUUAAGAGGUACUCCAUAGUUUUUAAAUACAAGGUUUUUUUCUUUCUAUUUUUUACUUUAAGAAAAAAACAUGAACAAUAUAAUUUUUUAACAAUGUAAAAGAUUAAUUUAUUUCUUAUAUAUAUUUAGUAUUUAGUUCUUGAGAGCAUAAAAAAAAUGUUUAAUGUGUCUUAGAAAAUAUUUUUCAAAAAUGAUUUUAGUAUCAUUUCUACGCCAACUUUUAAAAAUAAAUUUUAUUAAGAGGUUAUCUAUAUUUAUGAAUGGAUAAUAAAAUUACUAUCAAAAUUCAGUAUUGAAUAUGUAUACAUAUAUAUAAUUAUUUUUAGAUUAACUUUUAAGGAUAAAUAUAAUUUUUAUGAUGAAUCCUGGCUGGAAAAAAUUCUGGCUGCAGGAAAAAACAAUUAACAGAUUCAGCCAAAUGGGUCUACCUGGGCCAAAUGAGCUUCCUUUCUGUGGAAUAUUUCAAUUCUUUUUUUGGGAAUUAUUACAUGAUAUUAUCAAACCCACAUUCUCCUCCUAGGUAUGUAUUUGCUGCGGCUGCUGGUCUUCUUCUACUGGUUGGCGGUGAUGGAGGCAGAACCAGCUGCGGAAUGUUGAAAACAUUUUCUUUAAGCUCUCAAGAACUAACAGAGGCUACCAAUUUCAGGACUCAAUCUUGAUUAUAAUAAUCAGAGGAAGGGUCCCACAAUUACGGCACACACCACGAUGUAGUUUAUUGGAUGACGUGGGAGUGAUGUCAUGAACCAAGACGUGACUCGGUGCUGACUCGGACUUGCUUUUUUGAAAACUAAAUUUGGAGGGAAAAAGCGAAGAGAAAGCGGGGAUGUCUGUGGGCUUGAGAGAGAGAGAGAGAGAGAGAGAGAGAGAGAGAGAAAGGAGAGCCAAAGAAGAAGAGAAAGAGAGCAAGCGAAGCAGAGGAGAAAGAGCCGCGUCUGGUCAGAUUCAAGUUUCAACAACCCUUUCCGUUUUUGAGGCUUCUUUUGAAAGAAAGGCAUCCAUCCAUGUUUCCCCUGCCCUUGGGCUGGCGCGUUCUUGACAUUUUUUCUUUAUUAUUAAUAUGAAUAUUUUAAUUAAUUUACGUAUAUUUUAAUUAAUUUUAUAAAUUUUAAAAUUAAUAAUUAUAUAAACCUUUAAUAAUGGUAAAAUUUAUAUGCGUUCUAGGUAACUUGGACAUCUGGAUAGUAGAUAUAUUUUGUACGGAUAAAUAACUAUAUAAUUAUUAUUUUAUUUUAUUUCGUGAUAGAAGUCACCAUCAAUGUUGUUAAAAUCAUGAUUUUGAUAUGGCACGGAACAUACAAACCAAACUCGGAUCGUAAAAUUAUAAGGAAUUUUAAAAUACAUUAAAAAAAUUUAUGUUUCAAAUAAAAAUUUAUGGGUGAAUAAUAGUUAUCCUACACCUUUUAAUUUUUGUUACUUUAUAAAGUUUAAUAGCAUGGUUUUUCUGUAAAAUUAUUAUUUUUAAUUUUAUAAGAAAAAAUAAACUAUAAAAAAGUCAAGUUUAAUUAAAAAAAAAACACCCCACUAAAUUUAUAAACAAGAAUAACCUGAGUUAUUUGACAAACUAGCAAAUCACGCUAGCUUAAUAGAAAAAAAAAUACAAAUUUAACUUUCCAACAAUAUUAAUAUUAAAAAAAACAAAAGUAAUUUAAAAAAAAAAAGAAAAAAAACCUAUUUUUCAACUAAAAACAGAAAACUCAACGUGGAAAGUAGCAAUCCAUGUGAGAAGAAAGAACCACGGUUACCAAGUCAAGAAGAAAGAGCGCAGAAAGUUCAUUCAAGGUAAAAAAGAAACUAAUACAAAGGACAACAAACCUGACUUUUCCAGAAAUUAUUUACUUUUUCAUUUAAAGUUAGCCUUUACGUGGCUUUAUUCAAGCCUGCCACGCAAGGAAAGUAGGAAAGCAUGAAACUUUUACCCUAGUACGGAAAAAAGCAUUUUCCGCAUAAAAUUAUUAAAUCGCGGUGAAAUCAUGAUUUUAUAUGAUUUUAUUUGAUUUUAAUGAUUUUAUCCGAUUCUGACUUGAUUUUAUUCAUUUUCAAAUUUUACAAGCAAUUUAGUACAUAAAGUCUAUAAUAAUUCGUAAAAAUAUAUGAUUUUACAAGUUAAAUCGCAAUUUUAACAACCUUAAUCACCAUAACAAUGUACCUGAUUAAAGUAAAGGUGGAUGUAUUUUUUAGAUUUUGUUUACUGAAUUUUGUUAUUUUUUAAAAUAGAACAUCUUCGAUUUUCAGGACUGGGUAACCUCUGUUAGCUUUUUAUGCAAAGUUCUUGAAUGCGCUGCUGAGUUACUGGUUGAUAGUUAGCCGCGGCCUCCCUAGGUUUUUUCUAACGUAAAAAAUAUGUUAUCACUAAAAAAUAGUUAGCCGCGGUCCAUUGCUUAGGAGUUAGGUCCCUCCAUCAUCAUGAUUCUGUAAGAUUUUUCCAUUGAUUUCUAAGAACCAAACAAACCAAGACUCUACACACGUUGUCCACUAAAAGCUACUUUAAUUCAGACCUUUUAAAAAAAUUGAACAGAUCUGAAUGGAAUGGAGGUCCAAUUGAAUGACACUAUCUUCAAAGUGAACUGCAGGUUCCACAAAGGAACGUAUGCUGGAAGCAAACGGGGUUGACUAUAAGAAACGAAGAGUGAAAGAGUCAUUUGCUAGUUUGAUCAACAGAUUCCGUUGAUCAAAAUCUGUUGCCUUCGAUGGACUUUCUUCUCUUUUCCAGAUUGGUGGAGUGUGCUCAGGCGAUUGAAGGUGGUAACUUGGAUGUUGCAGAUUCACUUUUGGCAGAAAUUCAAUCUCUAGCUCCUAAAGAAGAGAGCACAUGGAAGAGGAAAGUUGUCAAAUACUUUGCUGAGGCUCUUGUCCGGCGAGCCUAUGGAAUUCGUCCUCCAUUUCCUUUACCCUCGCUACCUUUUCUAUACGAACCAGAGGCAACUUUAUACAAGUUUUCUAAAAUCGCCAGUAAACAUGCCAUUGCCGAUGCCUUGAAUUCGGGAUAUAAACGACUCCACAUUAUUGACUUCUCCAUCGUGUUCGAUUCUUGGCAGUGGAAGUCCUUAAUUGGUGACCUCGAAAGGCAGUAUGGUGGCCUACAAUCAGUCCUGAUAACCAGUAUCACACCGAAACUGUCAAAACACUCUGACUAUCUCCGUGAAAACCGGGAAUGGGCUAAGGGCAGAAAUUGGGAAUUGAGGCAAUUGAUAUGCAAUAGUCCGGAUGAUAUUGUCAAUUGUAUUUCCAAACUCAGAAGGAAAAGGAAGGAUGAGAUGGUGGUUGUGAAUUGGAAUUUUAUACUCCACAAAUUGCUUGCACAAGACGGGGCAAUGGAGCAAGUGCUUUCAAAAGUGAAGGAUUUGGGAGCGGACAUCAUGGUAAUUGUUGAGCAAGAAGCCAAUCUUAACAGUCCUGAUCUUUCGGAGAGGAUCGAACAAUCAUUCCAAUACUACUGCACUACUUUUGAGUCACGGCAGACACCGUCUCAGACCCCUGUGUUACGGGAGAUGUAUUUCAGGCGACAGAUUGGGAAUGUGUUGGCAUGUGAGGGCGUUGACCGGGUCGAGCGGAUUGAGUCAUUUGCUCAAUGGCAAAAUCGCCCAUCUCUGGCUGGGUUCUGUCCAGUUCCCCAAAAGGCAGACGAGUUUAAGGAAGAUUUUCAACACUGUUUAGAAGAGGAAUAUGGUGAAGACUAUUUAGAAGCAUAUGGAAUCGAAGAGAAGGAAGGGCAUAAUAUCCUUCUAAGUUGGCACGGUUUUCCGCUGGCUGUAGCCUCAGUUUGGAAGGUCACUGAUCCACCUCAAUUCAGUGGCGGUGAAUAAUCCAAUUCCAUCCUUUCCCUUCUCUUCUCUUGUUAUACUAAUUAUCAAGCAAUAAAUUCGUUGUGUGUAUUUUCACUUUAGGCUACUGGAAAAACUUGUUGACAGGUCGUUACACAAUGCAAGAUACAGUUGAUGACUCAGAAGGGAUGGCGAGCUCCUCUGAGUCUGAGGAUGAUGAAGAAAAUGAAUCUCUAGUUUGCAGAAUGGCAGAUAGAAACUUGUGGUCCACGCAGGUAUCGCUCUUUGUUUCCGAGAUUUAACAAAUUUGCUAGUUUUAUCUUUAUGGCAUGGGGAGAUUGCAACAACUUCAAAUUCGUUAGACAUAAAUUAGAAACUUACAAUAUAAUUCUGCUUUGAUAAAAGGUUAAAAAAGUCAAUAUAAUUCUGCUUGUGAUUUGCUUUUUUAUCUUUGUGCGAUUAUUGGUGUCGUUGAUCUCACAGGGCUCUUCAAUGAAUCGAAUAGCUGCUUCAGCAAAGCUAUAUGACAUAUUGGAAUACAUAUGUCAUCUACAUAGGUUACCACUGGCUGUGACAUGGAUUUUCUGUAACAGAGGAGGGAAUACUGAUUCAAAGGGAAAACGUAUUCUAUGUAUUGAUGAUAGCGCUCGCUAUGUAAAUCAUUGGCAAAUGGAUGCCUUUGUGGAUCAAUAUGCACGACGUCGUCUCGAGAAAGGACAAGGUAUCGCCGGAAAAGCACUUCAAUCUAAUAUUCAUAUCGAGCAACACAUUUCCGUGCUUCAUCGAGAUGAAUUCCUUUAUGAAGAUUACGGACCUAGCUGGUGCCCCGAAGCCUAUCAUGCUGCUUUUGCUAUAAGGCUAACAAGUACCCACCCUUGCAUGGAUGAUUGCGUAUUGGAAUUUCUUCUCCCUAGAUUCAGAAUGAAAGAUACUUCAGAACUAGUACUUUUGAUAAAUGAGGUCUUGCGUACAUUGCAGAGGAAAUGUUUAAAGAUGUGGGAAGUUAGUGUCAGAGAAGUAAAUGAGGCGAGCGGCUCUGAAGUUAGAUUGGAUGAUGAAAGAAUGCCAAACAUCCCACAUGAAGAUGGUGUUUUAGAAGGAAACGAAUUCAUGACAGUGAACCCAACCAGCAAUCAAGCAGAAGAAACACGCGAGCCUCUUGAACAGGUGCUCUUCUAUACUGAAUUCAUGUCAUUUUUCUCUUGAAGAAUGAGUUUUAAUUUAGAAGAUUAGUUUUUUAUUAUUUUGAUAAAUUUAAAAUAAAAUAAAAUAUUAAUAAAUUAUUUUACGGUUUUUUUAUGAUACAGCUAAAUAUUAAAAAAUAUUUUUCAAUUUAUUUUUUAUAAUACUAUAAAAUAUUUGAAAAUAAUUUUUUAAAAAAAAAUUCAUUUUUUUUUUUAAAAAACUUAUAUUUCAGCGAACAAACAAGCCUACGCGUUGUUUGCUAAAUCAUCUGCCUUGUCACAAAAAAGACUCUCUGUUUUGGAUGGACACCCAUCAUGUGUCCAAUGACAGCCUUCUAUGUGGCAGAUUUCCUUCCGCAGAUUGCGCAAGGGGUGGAAUAAUUAUUUUUCAGUAGAUAAAUUACAUUUGAUAAUUCGAAUAUAAUAAAAUCCAUUUUGCCUCUGUUUAGCUUGCAUGUUCAACUAUUGAAGAAGACACAAUCUGCCAAAUUAUUGACUGGAAUUGGCCUUCAUGUUGCCAAUAUCCUACUUCCCUAUCUCUUGACAGGACGUCCAAGAACAAUCUGCUAUACCUGCAAUGAUGAUUAAGCAUGGAUAUCCCUUGACUAUGGUUCAACUUGAGUUUUUUGUGAAGAAUUUUCAGCCAGUGUUUAAACUUUAUUCAAAAGACGUCGUUGAAGCUGAUGUCCUUGCUAUUUGCAGACAAGAGAAGGAGAAACUCAUCAAUUUUUUUGAUAAGCUCUCUUGUCUCUUGAGUUUAACACUUGAAUUGUGGUCAUCUACUGACAAAAUGAAGACCUACUGCUGCUUCACCGUGCACUUCUGUCACGACCCGAAUCCCGGGUCCAUGACCGGCAACGCAGGAGCGGUGGCGGAAGGACACCCCUCCCGCGCUAAGCCUCAUAACGGACAUAUCAAAAGAAUAAUUUAUUCAAAAAUACGCAGCAUUUCAUAAUCUUCAGAAAUAUUAUAUCCUUCAAAACUGAUGAAACCAGAAGAUAGUUUAAAACUCCUCAUCAGUAAUUAAAACAAAAACAAUAAUCCAUAAUACUCAUUACAUUGUCAAAAAUCCAAACUUAAUCAAAACAAAGUAAUAGUGGAGCGCCUAAGACAUCGAAUCAAACAGCCUUGAAAGAUAAGCAAGGCAUACCGACUCAAAACUGAAGAAGCAGGAACACUCAACAAGGUUCACCUGCUAUCAGAAACUAAGAACCUGAAAUAAUAUUAAGAAUGAGGGGUGAGUUCAACCAACUCAGUGAGGGAAUAAUAAUUAAUAUACAUUUUAGAUAUUCUUGAUAUUUAUAGUUCGCAAGAUCAUUUAUCUUGAUAUACAUAUACAUAUACAUACUAAACUUAUCAUAUACAUAUCAUAUACAUACUAAACGUAUCAUCAUAACGUAGUGGACUAUAUGUCAGAGAUCAGAUGACACCCGAAGGUGACCAGACCAGAUGACACCCGAAGGUGACCACUGUGGGAUGAUCAGUCGCCACAGGCUGAUGCCUCUCUCACCAGCUAGGUAUACAUACAGAAUACUAUGUGCACAUAGGCUAACUACUCUCCGUUAGCAUGGAGUUACUGACAAGUCCCAUAUCAAGGCAUAAUAGAUAUUCACAUAAUCAUCAAAGAAACGUAUAUCAUAUCAAAUAGAAUUUACUUUGACAGAUUGCGAGUGCAAAUUCAAGAAUAAAUGAGUACUCGGAAAAUAAGCAACAUAUAUAAUUAUUCAAGAAAUUAACGAGUUGUACUCAUUGUAUAAUCAACAUACAUAUUUACUUAUCAUAUAUGCAUAUUAAAGAUUAUUCCACUCACCCGGAAAAUAUAGAACUAAAGGAAUGUCAGACGAAAGACCCGAAAAUCCUAUUGAGGAUUGUUAGGAGAACCUACAACAAUAUGAAAAUAUACUCAAAAGCAACUCAACAAGAGAUCCCAAUGCAUAAAAUAAAACCAGGUUUAUUCUCCUAAGUUUAUGGACUAAAACGACAAUUUUCCAAAACAGGGACCAAAACGUAAUUUUACCAAAAUUGGACCAAUCUGGAAAAUACAUAACCAUACUGAAUUUUCACCCAUAAACCAUCCUUAAUUCUGUCUAGAACGAACCAGGGACCGAUCUGAAAUUUUCAUAAAAUUCAGGGACUAAAAUGUAAAUUCCCGAAAUUGAGGGACCAAACUGAAAAUAUUCAAAAUCAAUUAUCAAACUGCGAUUCAUCAUCCUUAACCUCAUAAUAACACUGUCCAGAAUCUCAAAUACAAUUAGGGGUCAAAUUAUAAUUUUCCCAAAGUUUAGGGACUAAACUGAAAUUUCACAAAUUGAGGGACCAAAUUGAAUUUUCGUUAUCUUCAACCUCAAACCCAGAAUUUUACAGAUUACCUACUGUCAUCUCCUGAUUUCUAACACAAUUUCAAAAAUCAUAACUCAAAAUCAUCAUCUUUACCCUCAAUCUCUCACAAUCAACUAAUUAACCAAUUACCCACAACAAUCAACCCAUAACCUUCCAAUUAAUUCAUCAAUCAAACUCAAAACACAAUAUUCAAAACCCUAACAUUUAUCAAAACAGAAAUUAAGGCUUAAAGAACACACAUUUAUACAUAAUCUUACCUUUAAACUUAUUUCCUCCAACUCCUUUCCUUUUUCCCUUAUUUUCCCCUCUUUUCUCUUCUUCUUCUUUCUCCCUUCUCUCUCACGGUUUGCUCUCUCAAAUAUUCAGAUAUCUUUUUUUUUUUUUUCUCUUUAUACUUAUCAUCUCUUUAUACAAUUACUCCAAUACCCUUCAUUUAAUUAUACCAAUUUUUAGCCUUCAAGGGCUUUAUUGCCUUUUACCUACUCAUUAAAUUUCAAAACAUCACAAUCUCCCCACCUUAUAAAAGUUUCGUCCUCGAAACUUAAACUUUAAGAAAAAGUCUUACCAUCAAGUUCAAACAAGAAUGGAUACUUGUUGAGCAUUUCCUCCUCAAGCUCCCAGGUCGCUUCUUCACGUGGGUGUCCGCUCCACACAACCUUAACUGAUGUGAUAUCUUUCGACCGAAGUUUUCUAACUUGUCGAUCCACUAUUUUUAUUGGUUGAACUUCAUAUGUCAUAUCUUUCCUCAGCUCAAUCGGUUGAACUUCUAGCACAUGAGAUGGAUCAGACAAAUACUUCCUCAACAUCGAAACAUGGAACACCGGAUGUAUAGAGGAGAGAUUAGGUGGCAAGGCAAGCCGAUAUGCCACUACCCCUACUCUUUCCAAGAUCUCAAAGGGCCCUAUAAACUUAGGACUCAACUUUCCUUUCUUCCCAAACCUGAAUAUCCCUUUAGUCGGGGAGACUUUUAGGAACACGUUGUCACCCACUGAAAAUUCUAGAUUACGCCUUCUCUUAUCUGCAUAAUUCUUUUGCCUACUCUGAGCUGUUAGAAGCUUAUCUCGGAUCACCUUAAUCUUAUCCGAAGUAAUCUGUAUUAACUCGGGACCCAUUAAUCUCCUCUCACCAACCUCAUACCAACAUACAGGUGAUCUACACUUCCGGCCAUACAAGGCCUCAUAUGGGGCCAUAUCAAUGCUCGCUUGAUAACUAUUAUUAUAUGCAAACUCCACCAAAGAUAAGUACUUGCUCCAUCCGACACCAAAGUCAAUCACACAAGCUCUUAACAUAUCCUCCAAAAUUUGUAUAGUCCUCUCAGAUUGUCCAUCUGUCUGAGGAUGAAAGGCAAUACUUAACUGAAUGUUAGUCCCCAAAGCUUCCUGAAACUUCACCCAAAACCGAGAAGUGAAUUGUGGACCUCUGUCGGACACAAUUGAGAUCGGUACACCAUGCAACCUUACGAUCUCGUUAACAUAGAUUUCUGCCAGUUUUGCAAACCCAUAUGUCACCUUUACUGGCAAGAAAUGAGCUGACUUGGUUAAACGAUCAACUAUUACCCAAACCAAAUCAUAACCCUCUUGACUCCGAGGCAAACCUGACACAAAAUCCAUAGUGAUCCUCUCCCAUUUCCAUUCAGGAAUUAACAAUGGCUGCAAAAGCCCUGGUGGUUUCUGAUGCUCACCUUUAACCUUCUGACAGGUCAAGCAUCGAGAUACAAAUUCAGCAAUGUCCCUCUUCAUACCAUUCCACCAAUAACACUCUUUCAAGUCUCUAUACAUCUUGUUAGAACCAGGAUGUAUAGUAUAGGCAGUUUGAUGUGCUUCCGUCAUCACAUCUCUUUUCAAAUCAUCCACCUCAGACACACAUAACCUGGAACCAAAUCUCAACACACCAUCUUCAUGGAUAACAAAACCCGGAGCUCUCCCUAACUCCAACUCAUCUCGAAUCUUGCAAAGUCGCUCAUCCUUCAUUUGAGCUCCUUUAAUCCGGUCUACCAAGUCUGACUUAGCCUGGAAGUGAGCCAACAAUGCUCCCGAUUCACAAAUCUCAAAACUGACCCUCUCAUCCAACAAUCCGUGUAACUCUUUAAUCAAGGGUCUCCUCACCUCCUGAAUAUGAGCCAAACUACCCAUAGAUUUUCUGCUUAAGGCAUCGGCAACAACAUUUGCCUUGCCCGGGUGAUACUGAAUCGUGCAAUCAUAAUCACUUAAUAGUUCCAUCCACAUUCUUUGUCUCAAAUUCAGAUCCUUCUGCUGGAAGAUAUAUUGAAGACUCUUAUGAUCUGAAAAUAUCUCACAUGUCUCCCCAUACAAGUAGUGUCUCCAAAUCUUAAGGGCAAACACUACCGCAGCCAUCUCCAAAUCAUGUGUGGGGUAAUUUUGCUCGUGCUUCUUCAACUUUCUCGAGGCAUAAGCAAUCACAUUACCAUUCUGCAUCAAAACACAACCCAAACCAAUCCUGGAUGCAUCACAGUACACGGUAAAACCACCAGACCCUGAAGGUACUGUCAAAAUUGGAGCCGUAAUUAACCUUUCCUUCAACUCCAGGAAACUCUUCUCACAUUCUUCUGACCAUUGAAACUUGACACUUUUCUGUGUCAACUUCGUCAAUGGAGCAGCGAUUCGGGAAAAAUUCUCCAUGAAUCUCCUGUAGUAUCUUGCUAAACCCAGGAAACUCCUAAUCUCAGAUACUGUAACUGGUCUAGGCCACUGCUUAACUGCCUCCACUUUCUGUGGAUCAACCUCUAUCCCAUUUUUGGACACCACAUGUCCCAAAAACCCAACACUCUCUAACCAAAACUCACUCUUCGAGAACUUUCCAUACAACUGAUGAUCUCUUAGAGUUUGAAGCACCAAUCUCAAAUGCUCUUCAUGUUCCUCUUUACUUCUCGAAUACACCAAGAUGUCAUCAAUGAACACAAUAACAAACUUAUCAAUAAACGGCCUAAAAACCAUGUUCAUCAUGUCCAUAAAAGCUGCAGGUGCAUUCGUUAACCCAAAAGACAACACUAGGAACUUGUAAUGCCCAUAACGAGUCCUAAAGGCAGUUUUAGGAAUAUCCUCAUUUCUAAUCCUCAACUGGUGAUACCCCGAUCGCAAAUCAAUCUUUGAGAAACAUUGAGCUCCUUGUAAUUGAUCAAAAAGAUCAUCAAUGCGAGGAAGUGGGUAUCUAUUCUUAACAGUGACCUUGUUCAACUGUCUAUAGUCUAUACACAUCCUCAUUGAUCCAUCCUUCUUCUUUACAAAUAAAACAGGUGCUCCCCACGGAGACACACUUGGACGAAUAAACCCCUUAUCUAACAAAUCUUGAAUCUGCUCCUUCAACUCUUUUAAUUCUGCUGGCGCCAUCCUGUACGGUGCCAUAGAGAUUGGUUUUGUUCCUGAAACUAGAUCAAUACAGAAUUCGAUUUCCCUAUUGGGAGGUAGUCCAGGUAAGUCAUCGGGAAAAACAUCGAUGAAUUCCUUAACUAUCGAAACUUGUUCCAUCCUCGGGACCUCCAUGUUCAUAUCAUGCACAUAAGCCAAAAACCCUUGCAUACCUUUUCGUACCAUCCUUCUCGUGAUGGCCGAGAGAAUACUAGAUGGAGAUGAUAACCCAUCUCCAUGAAAAGCAAACUCCGUCUUCUCAUCAGGCUUGAAAAUCACUGUCUUAUUCCAACAAUCAACUGAGGCAUGGUGCCUUGAUAACCAAUCCAUACCUAGUAUCACAUCAAAACCUACUAUGUCUAAAAUUACCAAAUCGCCUAAUAGGUUUCUACCUUGCACUUGAAUCUCACAAUCAACAUAAACAUAUUCCCCAAACAUAACCUCAUCCGAAGGGAUAGCUACACACAAAGGACUCUCUAACAAAAUGGAUUGUUUAGUAAACCUUAAAGCAAAAUAUGACGACACGAAAGAAUGAGUUGCCCCCGUGUCAAAUAACACUCUAGCCUCGAAGGAACAUAACAUAACUAUAAAGGAGUUUUAAGGAGGACACACCAAACCCUAGAUUGGAGAAUUGUAAGAGGAACGACAUCAAGACAAGAUAGAUCCUAAGCUCCACAUAUUACGAGGGUUUUGAAAAAUAAAAAAAAUGACUAAAAUAGAUUACGAGGUUUUAAUAAAAACCGGGCUCUGAUACCACCUUUGUCACGACCCGAAUCCCGGGUCCAUGACCGGCAACGCAGGAGCGGUGGCGGAAGGACACCCCUCCCGCGCUAAGCCUCAUAACGGACAUAUCAAAAGAAUAAUUUAUUCAAAAAUACGCAGCAUUUCAUAAUCUUCAGAAAUAUUAUAUCCUUCAAAACUGAUGAAACCAGAAGAUAGUUUAAAACUCCUCAUCAGUAAUUAAAACAAAAACAAUAAUCCAUAAUACUCAUUACAUUGUCAAAAAUCCAAACUUAAUCAAAACAAAGUAAUAGUGGAGCGCCUAAGACAUCGAAUCAAACAGCCUUGAAAGAUAAGCAAGGCAUACCGACUCAAAACUGAAGAAGCAGGAACACUCAACAAGGUUCACCUGCUAUCAGAAACUAAGAACCUGAAAUAAUAUUAAGAAUGAGGGGUGAGUUCAACCAACUCAGUGAGGGAAUAAUAAUUAAUAUACAUUUUAGAUAUUCUUGAUAUUUAUAGUUCGCAAGAUCAUUUAUCUUGAUAUACAUAUACAUAUACAUACUAAACUUAUCAUAUACAUAUCAUAUACAUACUAAACGUAUCAUCAUAACGUAGUGGACUAUAUGUCAGAGAUCAGAUGACACCCGAAGGUGACCAGACCAGAUGACACCCGAAGGUGACCACUGUGGGAUGAUCAGUCGCCACAGGCUGAUGCCUCUCUCACCAGCUAGGUAUACAUACAGAAUACUAUGUGCACAUAGGCUAACUACUCUCCGUUAGCAUGGAGUUACUGACAAGUCCCAUAUCAAGGCAUAAUAGAUAUUCACAUAAUCAUCAAAGAAACGUAUAUCAUAUCAAAUAGAAUUUACUUUGACAGAUUGCGAGUGCAAAUUCAAGAAUAAAUGAGUACUCGGAAAAUAAGCAACAUAUAUAAUUAUUCAAGAAAUUAACGAGUUGUACUCAUUGUAUAAUCAACAUACAUAUUUACUUAUCAUAUAUGCAUAUUAAAGAUUAUUCCACUCACCCGGAAAAUAUAGAACUAAAGGAAUGUCAGACGAAAGACCCGAAAAUCCUAUUGAGGAUUGUUAGGAGAACCUACAACAAUAUGAAAAUAUACUCAAAAGCAACUCAACAAGAGAUCCCAAUGCAUAAAAUAAAACCAGGUUUAUUCUCCUAAGUUUAUGGACUAAAACGACAAUUUUCCAAAACAGGGACCAAAACGUAAUUUUACCAAAAUUGGACCAAUCUGGAAAAUACAUAACCAUACUGAAUUUUCACCCAUAAACCAUCCUUAAUUCUGUCUAGAACGAACCAGGGACCGAUCUGAAAUUUUCAUAAAAUUCAGGGACUAAAAUGUAAAUUCCCGAAAUUGAGGGACCAAACUGAAAAUAUUCAAAAUCAAUUAUCAAACUGCGAUUCAUCAUCCUUAACCUCAUAAUAACACUGUCCAGAAUCUCAAAUACAAUUAGGGGUCAAAUUAUAAUUUUCCCAAAGUUUAGGGACUAAACUGAAAUUUCACAAAUUGAGGGACCAAAUUGAAUUUUCGUUAUCUUCAACCUCAAACCCAGAAUUUUACAGAUUACCUACUGUCAUCUCCUGAUUUCUAACACAAUUUCAAAAAUCAUAACUCAAAAUCAUCAUCUUUACCCUCAAUCUCUCACAAUCAACUAAUUAACCAAUUACCCACAACAAUCAACCCAUAACCUUCCAAUUAAUUCAUCAAUCAAACUCAAAACACAAUAUUCAAAACCCUAACAUUUAUCAAAACAGAAAUUAAGGCUUAAAGAACACACAUUUAUACAUAAUCUUACCUUUAAACUUAUUUCCUCCAACUCCUUUCCUUUUUCCCUUAUUUUCCCCUCUUUUCUCUUCUUCUUCUUUCUCCCUUCUCUCUCACGGUUUGCUCUCUCAAAUAUUCAGAUAUCUUUUUUUUUUUUUUUCUCUUUAUACUUAUCAUCUCUUUAUACAAUUACUCCAAUACCCUUCAUUUAAUUAUACCAAUUUUUAGCCUUCAAGGGCUUUAUUGCCUUUUACCUACUCAUUAAAUUUCAAAACAUCACAACUUCAUUGACGAUGGAUGGCAGCUGAAGAAGAAGAUUCUUGCUUUCAGGAACUUACGGUACAACUAUGACAUGGGGACUGUACAUGAAGUCUUUAAAAGUGUGCUUGCAGAGUGGAGCAUCAACAAGAACGUUCGCUUCAUAUUCCUGGAUAUAACUCCUCCAAACGAUCACAUGAUUGGAGAAUUAAGAAGUAAGGUUUCUGAUCAAGCCCCACCUAUCCAUGGACAUCUUUUCUGUGUUCCUAGUUAUGCCCACAUUCUCAGUCUCCUUGUUCAAGAUGGAUUUUCUGAGAUAAGGAGUGUGCUUUAUAAGAUAAGAGAAUGUAUAGAGUACGUCAAAGGAAGCUCACUUGUAAGGCAGAGGUUCCAGGAGGCAAUUAAUAAUGGGAGUUUGCAGGACAGGGAAAUGCCUACUCUAGAUGUUGCCGCGAGAUGGGACACCACCUUUCUUAUGCUGGAGAGUUCAUUGGAAUUUAGAACAGCUUUUAAUCACCUUGAGCAAUUGGAUGAUGAUUUCAAAGUGAAUCCAUCUGCAGAAGAAUGGAACAAAGCAACAGCCGUAUUUGAGUGCUUGAAAGAGUUCUACAAUUCAACAUGCAAUUUUCCAACAAGCAGAGAUGAUUAUUUCCUCAGUGUUCGUGAUGUUUAUAAGAACUUGCAAGGCUGGAAACAGAGCGAUUAUGUAUAUGUUCGCGCUAUGGCAAAUAGAAUGAAGGGAAAAUUUGACGAGUAUUGGGGAGAAGCUAGCUUGGCUUUGGGAAUCUCAGCAGUUCUUGACCCCAGCUUUAAAUUGGACAUUAUUGAGUAUGGCUACCGGCAGAUAUACGGCAGUGAUGCUGACUUGCACUUAUCCAGAUUCCGUUACGAUCUUACAUGUGCAUACCAUAAAUAUGCAAAGGACAUCAGCAAUCAGGGACCAUCUUCUUCUGCCAUGGCUGAAGUGGGUCGUUGUACAUCAUCUGAUAUUAGUUUCAAAGAGUGGCGCAAGGGUAAGUAUGAACGCAACAUGGUGCCCUCACAAUGGAAUGAGCUUGAUCAGUAUCUACAACUGCCCCCGGAGAACUUGGAUAAGGAUGGUAACGUAUUAGCUUGGUGGCAAGACAAUGCUCCAAAUUUUCCAAUACUGGGAAAAAUGGCUCGUGAUUUCUUAGCAAUUCCAGUAUCAACUGUCAUUUCCAAGUCAUCAGAGGUUAUGAAGAUGGCAUCAGUCCAUGACGGUGUUCGUCCUGAGAUAGCCGAGGCUUUGAUAUGUGGAAAGGAUUGGUUGGACAGCCCUAACUGCAAGUUUUCCUUUUUCUUUUUGAUCUAUUUAAGUGUGAUGCGUUUAUAUCUCUGCUAUCUGUUUAUUUAUUUCUUCUUCUUCUUUUCUUCAGCAAUUGAUCCAUGUUUGGAUCCUCACUGGUAGUUGCUAGUACUGUGAAAUAAGUUUUUCCCAGGUAAACACUGGCCUUCUCUUUUAUUUCCAAGAACAAGAUUUUGUCUGCAGAGUGAAAAAUCAAAAUGCGCAUAUAAUCUGCAGUCUGCAUGAACAUUAAAACUAGGCUGGAAAGUAAUUCUCAAAUGAAAACAAAUAACAAGUUACAUUAUUUUUCUGUGCCGCAGGGUCAACCAGGCUGAGCAAAUCUGACUUGGAUGCUGUAGAAGAAUAGUACUGGACACAAGAACCUGAAGUGACGAAGACUUAUUUUUUGCUUAAUUUUAUCAUGAAUUUGAAAAUAAAAAAAAUCUUGAUGUAAAAAAUGAUUUGAAACUACUUUUUUAAUGCGUUUUAAAAAUAUAUCUGUAUCUCCUCGAAAAAACAUGAAAUUAAUGUUUUCUAGUGUUAUUUGAUGGUUUUAAUAUUCCAUGUCAAAAAUAAAAAAUAUAUAUAUAAAAAAAUUAUUUUUAACAUUAAUCCAUUAAAUACAAUCUAAUUAAUUUAGUUUUAUAAAUAUGACCAUGACCUAGACAGUUGCCUGCGUACUUUAGUAAACAAUUCAGGUAAUUUUGGCCCAUUGAAAAGCCCAUUUAAAAAACAUUAUAUGACUAUGCUUAAAAAACACUAGGCCUCGAUCAACUAUCACUUAAAACAAGCUAUCAAGCCUGGAUCAAACUUUAAAAUAAAGUAUUUUGUAUUUUAAGGUGUUGAUUAAAAUUUCUCAUUCCUUGCAAAUAUUUAUUUGCAUUCACCAAAAUAAUUAAUAUGUGAGAAACAAAUUUAGGUAGCAUCAUGCAUGAAUUCCCUUCAUUUCACACCAGCAAAAUUAUGUUUGCAUUAUUUCAGCUAUGAUUAUGUUAAUCAUAUUUACAUUAAUCUUUUUAAUUUUCUUUGUACCUAUUUUUUUUAAAAGAAAAAAUCACAGUUUCCAUAAAAAUAAUAAUUAUAACGAUUGUUUGAAUUAAAUGAAUAACAAAUUAUAUUAUUGUAAAUUAAUCUUUCAGCCCUUACUAAAUAAAAUAAAACUAUUCACAUUAAAUGUCUUAUGAUAGUCACUAAUUUAUUUUAAAGAUUCAUUAAUUAGAACAUAUAUUUGAAUAUAAAUAACAUUAUUCAAAACUAACAACGUAAAUAAGAUUUAUAAUUUGAAUAAUAGAAGAAGAAAGAUGCAGAAAUUAAAAGGUUAAAUUAUUCAAAAUCAUUUUAAAUUCUUGGUCAAUACUUUACCAAAUCCAAACCAUGUCCGGUCAUGUUCCUUCCAAAUCCCUAAACUCUGUUAGUCAAUAGUUUACCAGAACUGUAUAUGGACAUCUGUAUUCGGAAGAAUUAAUGGAAGUAGGGAUAUUAACGAGGUGCAUGCCUAGGAGGGCGCUGAAGGAGAGGCCUCGAAUCAUAGAUUGGGCAAUGAAUUCCAUCCAGCUCUAAUGGCUAUGCUCUUAGUACUGCUUACAAGCUUCCACAGCUUAGCAGUGAAGUCGAAUAAAAAUCACUAAUAUACAUAAACUGAGGUCAUUAUACUUUUCCUUUGUUUUCUAGAUGACUCGGUUGCCACUGAGAAUUGGGUAUAAAAAUGACUCUCAAAUGCUAUUUCCAGAGAUUUCUUAUGUGUCUCGAGGCUAUCUUAAAUCUGCAAAUCACCCUGUUGUUUUGUAACUAUUAUUACAACACUUUGUGGAUCAACUCGAGUCUUGUCACAAGUCGUGUUUUAAAUAAGUAAUUGAUACACUUAUAAUCUAUUUUUUAAUCUUUCUAUUUUAAUUUUUAUUCUUUUUUUUAUUUUUAUUUUUACUAUAUUUCCUGAGAAAUAAUAAUAAAAAAUGAUGAAAAAUUGAAAAUAAAAAUGAUGAUAAAAAACAAAUAAAUAAAUGAAAUAAAUGAAGAAUGAAUUAAAAUUUGGGUAAAGGCAACAAGUUUGAGGAUUUAAUUAAACUUUGGAUUAGUUUAAUUAACUAAAUCAAGAGCUUAAUUGAAGAAUUGAUAAGUUUUGGGAUUUAAUUGAGUUUAAAAUUAGUUUAAUUAGUGAGAUUAGAGGCUUAAUUGAAAAAAUAACAAAGUUUUGGGUUGAUUUGGAUCAAAAUUGAAUUAAAGAUUUUUUAAGUUAAUAAUAUAAAUCUUUAAUGAUAAUUUUUAAUUUGAAUAAAAUAAAAUAAAUAUUCUAUAAUUAGAUUAUCACAAAUAUAAGAUAAUAAGAUAAUAAUUAUAAAUUGUGAUUUUUCGUUUUUUUUUUUUUAAUAAAAACUACAUGUAUUCUUGAUUUUUUUUUUUUGAAAAAUACAUUUUGUUGACAAAAAUGAGCAUCUUUAUUAAUUUUUCAUUGAAAAAAGAAAACUAAAAAAAAGUUGUUUUUUAUUUCUAAACACACCUUAAUCCUUUCAUAUUGCUAUUAUAGCUGUUAAAUCUAAUUUGACUUGGUACAUUGACCAGGAUACAAGAGCUGAUCUAGAUUGAUUUUUAGUUAAACUAAUUAACAAGACAUUAGCAUGUUAAAUUGAUAUGACAUGACUUGUUUUUUUAGUAACUUUAAUUGACUCGGUCACAUCCAAUUCAAAACCAAUUGGGUAAAUAUUUUGUAAAAAAAAAAAAUUAUUUUAAUAAAAAUAGUUGAUACAUAGUUUGUUCUAAUGAUUUUGUCACAGGUGGACAUCAUCGCAAGCUAGCCAGUGAAAAAGAGAUAAAAAAAAAAAACUUGUCACGUAGUUUUAUAAUAACUAAAUAUUUUAACUAUUUUUUUCAUAAUUUCUAGUUAAGGAGGUUGAUUAUUUAAUAAUAAAGAUAAACACCAUUUUAUAUAUUAUAUCUAAAGUAAAUUACGUUGUUGUUUGUUUUUAAUUAAAAGAAAUGUUUAAAGUGACUUUGAAAAUAUUUUUAUGAAAUAAUUUUAAUAUCACUUCUACAACAAUUUUUAAGAAUAAAUUGGAUUAAGAGGUGUAUAACUUCUAUGACAACUUUUAAGAAUAAUUCUCAUUAAGAGGUUAUUUAUCCUAUGUUGAUCAAUAAAUAAUAAAAUAAAAAUAAAAAUAAAAAUUCAGUAUUUGCUGAUAAUAAAAUAUUUUUCUUAAAUAAUUUUAGGCCCCGUUUGUUUGACGGAAAGUGGUUUUCUAGAAAGCACUUUCCAAACAUUUCUGUGUUUGUUUGUCAUUAGAAAAGUUGGUCAAUAGAAAAUAUUUUUCAGUCAAAGAAAAAUUUGGCUUGGUUUUCAGGAAAGUGUUUUCCUUUUAUUUUGAACGGAAAAUACUUUUCAAAAGUUGUGAAAAAAUUAAAAUGUCAUAUUAUUUAUUGAUUAUAUCAAAUUUGGUCCUCAAACUUUUGAUUGCUAUAUAUAUUUUGUUUUGAAUAUUUGUUUUUAAUUUUUAUCCCUUAGAAUUUGUUUUUUAUAUUAACUUUGGUCUUUAUUCUUAUGAUUAUUAUUGGCUUUUCUCUUAUCAUUUUUUAAUUAAAUUUUUUUAUGUAUCAAAUUUGAUUCUCAUUAUUUUGAUUGUUACUUAUUUUAUUUGAAAUAAUUUAUGAAAUUGUAAUUAUUAUUAUUUUAAUUUUAUCAUCUUUUAAUUUUUUUUAUCUGUUAGAUUUGAUCUCUAUUAUUUUGAUUAUUAUUUAUUUUAUCUGAGAUAAUUUAUAAAAUUAUAUUUUUUUUCAAUUUCAUUCUCAUUCAACCUUUUAAUUUAUAAGAUUUGUUUCUCAUUAUUUUAAUAAAUUUGAAAAAAAAGUAUUAAUGACAAUAAAAAAUUCACUUAUUUUCUAUGAUAUAACUAAACACUAGAAAAUAUUUUCCAACUUAUUUUUCAUAAUAUUAUCAAACAUAAAAAAAUAAUUCACUUUCUUGAAAUUCACUUUUCAAAAGAAUUAUUUUUCAAAAAGAAACUAAAUUUUCAAAUAAACAAACAUACUUAAUACCACCUUUUUUUUGUGAAAAUUGUUACAUGAUAUUAUCAAACCCCACAUAGUAUUUGCUGCUGCUGUGAAUGCUGGUGGUGAUGGAGGCAGAACCUGCAGGAUGUUGAUAACAUUUUCUUUAUGCUCCCUAGCUUUUCAUCAAAUCGAUUUUCUCCUUGCAAAGUUCUUGAAUAUUGAUUUUUUUAUCGAUUUAUUUUUCAAAUUUUAUUAAUUUUAAAUAUUAUAAAAUUUAAUAAAAUAUACAAUUUAAAUUAUAAAUUUAAUAGAUUCAUCGAGAUUAAUUCAAUAUAUCUCUAAGAAAAAAACAUUUUAUAAUUUUUUUAUUUCAAAAUUUGUUGGUAUAGUAUAGUGAGAGAAGUAACCUAGUUUAUAUUUAAACAAACCCCUAUCAUUAAAUUCGAUUUCAAGCUGAAAACAACUCUAACCAAACAUCAUAAACAGCUCUAAAAUUAUAUUUUUCCACAGACAAUUUUGACAUGUAACCCCCGACCUCUAAGUAAAUGACAGCAUCAUUUUGCAGCACAAUCCUAUCCAGUCAUGACAGAUGGGCUUAGAAAAUGGAAUUUACAAAGCAGAGGAAAAGGCAAGAAUACCAAUUCUCAAUCAAUGGGUCCAUUGCUUAGGUCCCUCCAUCGUGAUUCUGUAAGAUUUUUCCUUUGAUUUCUAAGAACCACACAAACCAUCUCAACACACGUCGUCCACAUCUUCACUCAUGCCCUUCCAAGAUUGCAAAAGAUCUGAAUGGAAUGGAGGUCCAAUUGAAUGACACUAUCUUUAAAGUGAACUGCAGGUUCCACGAAGGAACGUAUGCUGGAAGCAAACGGGGUUGACUAUAAGAAACGAAGAGUGAAAGAGUCAUUUGCUUCGAUUCCCUUCAUCAAAUCUUGUUUCCUUCGAUGGCCUCUCCCCUGUCUUGCGUGUUGAUGGUGUGUGCUAAGGCGAUUGAAGGUGAUCGCUUGGAUGUUGCAGAUUUUCUUUUGGCAGAAAUUCAAUCUCUAGCUUCUAAAGAGGAGAGCAUAUGGACGAGGAAAAUUGUCAAAUACUUUGCUGAGGCUCUUGUCCGGCGAGCCUAUCGAAUUCGUCCUCCUUGUACUUUUCCCUUGCUACUACCCGGAUACAUGUAUAAACCUUUCUGCGAGUUUGCUAGAAUCACCAGUAAACAUGCCAUUGCCGAUCAUGCCUUGAAUUCGGGAAAUAAAGGACUCCACAUUAUUGACUUCUCCAUCAAGUUCAAUUUUCGGCAGUGGAAAGAUUUAAUUGAAGACCUCAAAAGGCAGUAUGGUGGCCUACAAUCUGUCCUGAUAACCAGUAUCGCACCGAAACUGUCAAAACACUCUUACCAUCUCCGUCAAAACCGGGAAUGGGCUGAGCACAAAAAUUUGGAAUUGAGGCAAUUGAUAUGCAAUAGUCCGGAUGAUAUUGUCAAUUGUAUUUCCAAACUCAGAAGGAAAAGGGAGGAUGAGAUUGUGGUUGUGAAUUGGAAUUUUACACUCCACAAAUUGCUUGCACAAGAUGGGGCAACGGAGCAAGUGCUUUCAAAAGUGAAGGAUUUGGGAGCGGACAUCAUGGUAAUUGUUGAGCAAGAAGCCAAUCUUAACAGCCCUCAUCUUUCGAAGCGGCUCGAACAAUCAUUCCAAUACUACUCCCCUUGUUUUAAGGCACUGGAGGAAGAUUGUGAUAGACAUGUGUUCAUGGAGAUGUAUUUCAGGCGACAGAUUGGGAAUGUGGUGGCAUGUGAGGGCGUUGACCGGGUCGAGCGGAUUGAGUCAUUUGCUCACUGGCAAAAUCGCCUAUCUCAGGCUGGGUUUUGUCCAGUUCCCCAACAGGUAGACAAGUUCGAUGAAGAGUUUGUAAUCGAAGAGAAUGAAGGGCAUAAUAUCUUGCUAAGUCGGCACGGUUGUCCGCUAGCUGUAGCCUCAGUUUGGAAGCUCACUGAUCCACCUCAAUUCAGUGGCGGUGAAUAAUCCAAUUCCAUCUUUUCCUUUCUCUUCUCUUGUUAUACUAAUUUAUCCAUGAAUAAAUUCGUUGUGUGCAUUUUCACUUUAGGCUACUGGAAAACAUGUUGACAGGUCUUUACACAAUGCAAGAUACAGUUGAUGACUCAGAAGGGAUGUCGAGCUCCCCUGAGUCUGAGGAUGAUGAAGAAAAUGAUUCUCUAGUUCGCAUAAUGGCAGAUAGAAACUUAUGGUCCACACAGACACAGGUAUCCUUCUUUGUUUCCGAGAUUUAACAAAUUUCCUAGUUUUAUCUUUAUGCCAUUAUUGGUGUCGUUGAUCUCACAGGGCUCUUCAAUGAAUCGAAUAGCUGCUUCAGCUAAGUUAUUUGACAUAUUGGAAUAUAUAUGUGAUCUACAUAGGUUAGAACUGGGUGUGACAUGGAUUUCCUAUGGCCAAGAUGGUAAUACAAAUUCAAAGGGAAAGCGUAUUCUAUGUAUUGAUGAUAGCGCUUGCUAUGUAAAUAAUUGGGUUAUGGCAAAAUUUGUGGAUGAAUAUGCACGACAUCGUCUCGAGGAAGGACAAGGUAUCGCCGGAAAAGCACUUCAAUCUAAUAUUCAUAUCCAGCAUGACAUUUACUUGCUUGAUCCAUCUGAAUUCCCUGAUUCCUGUUCCUUCAGUAGCUCUUGGAUCAGAAAAUGGUAUGCUGCUUUUGCUAUAAGGCUAACAAGUACCCACCCUUGCAAGGAUGAUUACGUACUGGAAUUUCUUCUCCCUGUAGACAUGACAGACAGAACAGAACUUUUGAUAAAUAAGGUCUUGCGUACAUUGCAGAGGAAAUGUUUAAAGUUGUGGGAAGUUAGUGUCAGAGAAGUAAAUGAGGCGAGUGGCUCUGAAGGUAGAUUGGAUGAUGAAAAAAUGCCAAACAUCCCACGAGAAACACGCGAGCCUCUUGAACAGGUGCUCUUCUAUACUGAAUUCAUGUCAUUAUUUGCUUGAAGACUGAUAUCGAAUUUUUAAAUUUUUUUUUUUUAAGAUUUAAAUUAAUUCUAAUUUUAAUAUUUAUUUUUAUAAUUGUUAUUUAUUUUUUUCUUAUAAUUUUUUUAAUUGAAAUUUUUUAUCUAUUAUAUUUGAUCAUCGUUCUUAUUCUUAUUUAAUUUUUUAAUUUAUAAGAUUAGUUUUUGAUUAUUUUAAUAAAUUUAAAAUAAAAUAAAAUAUUAAUAAGUUUUUUUUUUUUAAUAACAUAACUAAAUAUUAAAAAAUAUUUUUUAAUUUAUUUUUAAUGACACUACUAAAUAUCUAAAAAUAAUUUACUUUUAAGAAUUCAUUUAAAAAAAAAAAUACUUCCAUGUUGUUUGCUAUAAGAAUUCUAGCCCACUCUAAUACAUAAAGAAUUGGAUUUUAGGUUAUUUAGAUCCAGAAACACCAAAUUAACUAAUUUUCUUCUAAAAAUAUUUUAAAAAAACUUUUUAAUGAGUUUAAAAUUAAAAAUCAAACUAAAUAAAAAAAAAUCUACAUGUGAUUCGCUGCAAGAAAUUCUAGCCAGCAGAAUUGGGUUCAAGGUUAUUUAGACCCAGAAAGUCUAAAUCAUCUGCCUUGUCAGAUGGACAGAAAAGACCCUCUGUUUUGGAUGGACACCCAUCAUGUGUCCAAUCACAGCCUUCUAUGUGGCAGAUUUCCUUCCGCAGAUUGCGCAAGGGGUGGAAUAAUUAUUGUUCAGUAGAUAAAUUACAAUUGAUGAUUCGAAUAUAAUAAAAUCCAUUUUGCCUCCGUUUUGCUUUUAUGUUCAACUAUUGAAGAACACACAAUCUGCCAUUAUUAUUGACUGGAAUUGGCCUUCAUGCUGCCAAUAUCCUACUUCCCUAUCUCUUGACAGGACGUCCAAGAACAAUCUGCUAUACCCGCACCUGCUCUGAAUGGUGAGAAUGCAUCGCUUAGUAUAGAUGGUGGCCUCCAGAGUACUAAUAAACGACGAAAGAUAUCAGCUGUGUGGGAAGAAAAUGGGGAAGUAUGGGCCACAUGUAAAUACUGUAAGAAGACGUAUUUGCAGCCAUUGUUUGAACUUCAUUCAAAAGACGAGGUUACAGAUGAUGUCCUUACUAUUUACAGACGAGAGAAGGAGAAACUCAUCAAAUAUUUUGAUAAGCUCUCUUGUCUCUUGAGUUUAUCAAUUGAAUUGUGGUCAUCGAAUGACAAAAUGAUGACCUACUGUUGCUUCACCGUGCACUUCAUUGACGAUGGAUGGCAGCUGAAGAAGAAGAUUCUUGCUUUCAGGAACUUACGGUACAACUAUGACAUGGGGGCUGUACAUGAAGUCUUUAAACACGUGCUUACAGAGUGGAGCAUCAACAAGAACGUUAGCUUCAUAUUCCUGGAUAUAACUCCUCCAAAGGAUCACAUGAUUGGAGAAUUAAGAAGUAAGGUUUCUGAUCAAGCCCCACCUAUCCAUAGACAUCUUUUCUGUGUUCCUAGUUAUGCCCAAAUUCUCGGUCUCCUUGUCCAAGAUGGAUUUUCUGAGAUAAGGAGUGUGCUUUAUAAGAUAAGAGAAUGUAUAGAGUACGUCAAAGGAAGCUCACUUAUAAGGCAGAAGUUCCAGGAGGCAAUUAAUAAUGGGAGUUUGCAGGACAGGGAAAUGCCUACUCUAGAUGUUCCCGCGAGAUGGGACACCACCUUUCUUAUGCUGGAGAGUUCAUUGGAAUUUAUAACAGCUUUUAAUCACCUAGAGCAAUUGGAUGAUGCUUUCAAAGUGAAUCCAUCUGCGGAAGAAUGGAACAAAGCAACAGCCGUAUUUGAGUGCUUGAAAGAGUUCUACAAGUCAACAUGCAAUUUUCCGACAAGCAGAGAUGAUUAUUUCCUCAGUGUUCGUGAUGUUUAUAAGAAUUUGCAAGGCUGGAAACAGAGCGAUUAUGUAUAUGUUCGCGCUAUGGCAAAUAGAAUGAAGGGAAAAUUUGACGAGUAUUGGGGAGAAGCUAGCUUGGCUUUGGGAAUCUCAGCAGUUCUUGACCCCAGCUAUAAAUUGGACAUUAUUGAGUAUGGCUACCGGCAGAUAUACGGCAGUGAUGCUUACUUGCGCUACUACCAGAAAUUCCUUGACAAUCUUAUAUGUGAAUACAAUAAAUAUGCAAAGGACUUCCGCAGUCAGGGACCAUCUUCUUCUGCCAUGGCGGACGUGAGUCGUUGUACAUCAUCUUAUAAUAGUUUCAAAGAGUGGCGCAAGGGUAAGUAUGAACGCAAUACGGUGCACUCACAAUGGAAUGAACUUGUUCAGUAUCUAGAAAAGCGUCCGGAGAACUUGGAUAAGGAUGGUAACGUAUUAGCUUGGUGGCUAGACAACGCUCAAAAUUUUCCAAUACUGGGAAAAAUGGCUCGUGAUUUCUUAGCAAUUCCAGUAUCAACUGUCAUUUCCAAGUCAUCAGAGGUUAUGAAGAUGGUGUUGGGAAAACUAGGGACAACUAACCGGAUCAAUUCAGCGGAAUACAAUUCACAAUUCACAAGUCCCAAUCCUUUUUCCCUCUUUGUGCAGUAAAAACAGAAUCAAACAAUGAACAAAUAUAAUGCAACAAUCACACAAAUCAACACCAAGAUUUUUUACGUGGAAAACCCGAUGCGGGAAAAACCACGGGACCGGAGUCCACCUAAAAACUUCCACUAUCACAAAUAAUGGGUUCACAAUUGUUCUUCCUCAGAUUCAACUAAGGGCUACAACAUAUAUAUCAUCAAGAAUAACUUAUUCUCGGAUUACAACAAGAUUAAAGGAGAAUUAUUUGAGAAAAACUCACAAUACUGACAACCCCGUUUUCUGUCAAAACGGCCAGCUUCCACACCACCAAUCUUCAAUCCAACCGUUCAGAAUGAAGAGUAACGUGUCUAGAAGCUGCUGUCCAAAUCUCAGCCCGAUCCAACGGUGAACGAACUGGAAAUCAAAGAAAGAAGACAGACUGCUCUGCUGCCUCCUCUUCUUUCUUUCUCUCGGUUUUUCUCUGCUCUCUCGUUCUUUCUCUACUGCCUCUACAGUGGCAGUUUCAUUUUAAAUCAAAGAGGCAGCCAGCUGCCUCCUUAAUUAAUGUGGUGGUCCCCCCCCAUCACAUGGUGCGGGACCACACAACAAAUCUCCCCCUCACGCACCAUGUGAGGAAUUCGCCAUACUGGCGAUCAACAUGUAAGCUUCAAUUUAGGAGGCUCUGACAAGCCUGCCUCCCUUCUGCAAAACUCAAACUUCUCUCUCGAUAGAGGUUUGGUCAUCAUGUCUGACACGUUGUCAUCGGUAUGGAUUUUCUCAACAACAAAUGACUUCAUCUCCAUAGCAUCACGAAUCCAUUGAUAUCUAACCUCAAUGUGCUUUGAUCGAGAGUGAAAAGUAGGAUGCUUACUGAGAUGGAUUGCACUUUGACUAUCACAGUGCAACACAAAGUUCUCUUGAACUAGGCCAAGUUCAUGUAAGAACUUCUUCAUCCAUAACAACUCUUUGCCCCCUUCAGUAAGAGCAAUAUAUUCAGCCUCUGUAGUGGAUAAUGCCACACAUUUUUGCAACCUUGAUUGCCAUGAGACUGCUCCCCCUGCAAACUUCAUCAAGUAUCCUGAUGUGGACUUUCUAGAAUCAACAUCACCAGCCAUAUCUGCAUCUGUGUAUCCAUCCAACACAGGUUUAUCAUUACCAAAACAUAAGCUGAAACUAGAAGUACCUUUGAGAUACCUGAGUAUCCAUUUCACUGCUGACCAGUGUUCUUUACCAGGAUUGGAGAGGAACCGACUAACCACACCAACUGCAUGAGCUAUAUCCGGCCUUGUGCAAACCAUGGCAUACAUCAAGCUACCAACUGCGGAUGCAUAAGGAACCUUUUUCAUCUCAUCUCUUUCUUCAUCACUUGAAGGACACUGCUUAGAACUUAGUUUAAAGUGGCUUGCAAGUGGAGAACAAACCGGUUUGGAGUUGCUCAUGUUGAAUCUCUCAAGUACCUUUUGAACAUAUCUCUCCUGAGAUAGCCAAAGUUUCUCCUUCUUCCUGUCACGUGUGAUCUUCAUGCCAAGAAUCUGUUUUGCCGGUCCUAAGUCUUUCAUUGCAAAAGACUUGCUUAACUCUUCCUUCAAAAUCUGAAUCUUCUUAGCAUCAUGGCCAACAAUCAACAUAUCAUCCACAUACAACAAGAGAAUAAUAAAGUUUCCAUCUGGAAACCUUUUCAUAAAUACACAAUGAUCAGAAGUGGUCCUGUCAUAACCAUGGUCCACCAUGAAAGAAUCAAACUUCUUGUACCAUUGUCUUGGAGCUUGCUUUAACCCAUAUAGGCUCUUUUUCAACUUGCAAACUAACUGCUCUUUGCCUUUUACUUCAAACCCUUCAGGUUGUUCCAUGUAGAUCUCUUCAUCUAAAUCACCAUGGAGAAAGGCAGUUUUCACAUCAAGUUGCUCAACUUCAAGAUUCAAACUAGCAGCUAAGCCAAGCACAACUCGGAUUGAAGACAUCUUGACCACUGGUGAAAAGAUUUCUUCAAAAUCAAUACCCUUCUUCUGACCGAAGCCUUUCACAACCAAUCUUGCCUUGUACCUUGGUUGUGAGCAAUGUUCAUCAAUUUUCAGCCUGAACACCCAUUUGUUCUUGAGUGCUCUCUUACCUUUAGGAAGCUUCACUAACUCAAAGGUAUGGUUUUCAUGCAAGGAUUUCAUCUCUUCUUGCAUUGCUUUCAACCACUCAUUUUUCUUCUCAUGUGACAUAGCUUCAUCAAAGCAUUCUGGCUCUCCCCCGUCAGUAACCAUCACAUACUCAUGAGGAGAAUAUUUGGUGGAAGGUUGGCGAGGUCUGGUUGACCUCCUCAAUUGUGGCUCAUCUGGAGCUUCCUGCAUAACCUGUUCAGGAAUAACAUCAAUAUCAUCAUUAGUUGAUUCAUGAUCACCAACUAAUGGCUCAAUAAGAAAACCACCAUUUUCAUCAUUUUGCAAGUCUCCCCCAUGAUUAGCAGGCAUCAAAGGUAACUGUGGAGUAGGUCUUGGAUUUGAAGUAGAUGGAAUAAAAGUUGUAGACUCUGUUUCCUCCUUCAGUUCAAAGUCUUCAAUGGUUUGAUCUUCAAAGAAGAUAACAUCUCUGCUUCUCACAAUUUUCUUCUCCUUUGGAUCCCAUAACCUAUAGCCAAACUCAUCAUCUUCAGAUCCCAAGAAAAUACACUGCUUUGUCUUGCUGUCAAGCUUGGACCUUUCAUCCCUUGGAACAUGUACAAAUGCUCUGCAUCCAAACACUCUCAAGUGUGCAUAGGAAACAUCCUUUCCUUUCCAAACUCUAUCUGGAACAUCAAACUCAAGAGGAACUGAUGGAGAAAGGUUGAUCAUGGCAACUGCAGUCUUCAUUGCCUCACCCCAAAAGGACUUAGGCAGCUUUGCAUGAGAGAGCAUACAUCUAAUUCUUUCAACAAUGGUUCUGUUCAUCCUCUCAGCCACUCCAUUCUGCUGUGGAGUCUUAGGAACGGUCUUCUCCAACUUGAUACCCUGUUCCCUGCAGUACUUCUCAAAAGGACCUCUGUAUUCACCACCAUUGUCUGCUCGAACACAUUUCAGCUUUCUACCAGUUUCUCUUUCAACUCUGGCAUGGAAAUCCUUAAAGACAUCAAGCACCUGAUCUUUGGAUUUCAAACAAGUGGCCCAAAUCUUCCUGGAGUGAUCAUCAAUAAAACUAACAAAGUACAAUGCACCUCCAAGAGACUUAUCAAUCAUAGAGCAAACAUCAGUAUGAACUAAAUCAAGAACAUGUGACCUUCUAUGUGAAGGUGAUCUUUGAAAUGCAACUCUAUGUUGUUUACCAACUAAACAAUGAGUACAUGUGUUCAAGUUCAUACCUUUCAAUGGAAGGUAGUUCUUCUUGGCAAGGAUGUCAAGGCCUUUCUCACUCAAAUGUCCAAGCCGCUUAUGCCAUAGAUCAGUAGAGCAAUCUUCAAUUGCAUUCACCUCCCCUUUGAUCACCUUGGCUUGUGACAUGUAGAGACCCAUCUUCUUCCCUUUAGCAACAAUUAGGGAAUUUCUGGAGAGCUUCCAUUUACCAUCUCCAAAGUAACUGUGAUAGCCUUCUUCAUCAAGAGUACCAGUAGAGAUCAAAUGUAGGCGCAUAUCAGGCACAUGCCUAACAUCUUUGAGUAGCAACUUGCACCCAGUAUUGGUUUCCAACCAAAUAUCUCCAAUGCCCACAACACUAGCCAUCCCUUGAUUUCCCAUCCUAACUUGACCAAAGUCACCAGCAGUGUAGGAUGUGUAAAAAUCAUGUCGGGGUGUAACAUGGUAAGAAGCUGCUGAAUCUGCAACCCAGGUGGUAUCUUGACAUGCAAGAUUAACACAGCCAUCAUCACACACAAUGGCAACAUCACCAUCAGAUACAACUGCAGCUGUACCAUUCUCUUCAUUCUUGUCUUCAUCUCUACCCUUUUUAUCUCUUUUAUACUUUCUGCAAUCCUUUUGCAUAUGCCCAGGCUUGUCACAAUAAUAACACUUAAAACCCUUCCUUGACUGAGAUCUUCCUCUUGGCUUCCAUUUGCCUUUUCUAUUGCUGGAUUCUCCAUCUUGCUUGCCGUGAGAGAACCUGCUUUGACUUCUCCCUCGACUUUCUGUAACAAGUGCAUGAGACUCGGAAGUGCUUGUCCCUUUCCUCCUCUUCUCUUCAUUGAGGAUACAAUCCUUCACUGUUUUCAAAGUGAGCUUUCCAUUCGGAGUAGAAUUGCUAAGUGACACUACCAAAGUCUCCCAACUAUCCGGCAAUGAACUCAAUAGGAUUAAUGCUUGCAUUUCAUCGGCUAACUCAAGGUUCAUCAAUGACAGCUGAUUCAAGAACCCUUGGAAUACAUUUAUAUGCACUGAAGCAUCUUCACCAUCUCUAUACUUCAAAUUCACAAGGUCUCUAAUUACAAAAACCUUGUUUUGUGCACUCUCCUUGGCAAAUGUUUCUUCCAACAUCUUCCACACUGUAUAACAGUCAUGUUCUUGAGAAAUAUGAUUAAUGGACUUAGAAGAUACCCAUUUUCUAACAUUAGCGGUAGCCUUUCUAUUUAGUCCAUUCCAUUUUGCAUCAUCCAUAUCAUCAGGCUUUAUUCCUUUACAUUCAAUCGGCAAAGCCAAAUCAUUGCAAUAUAAGUGAUCCUCCAUCAUUGUUUUCCAUAGAAAAUAAUUUGAGGAAGUGAGCUUUAUCAUGCCCGAAUCUUCCUUUUCCAUUUUAACUGCACAAGAAUUCAAUCUACACAACCAAAUGCUCUGAUACCACUUUGUUGGGAAAACUAGGGACAACUAACCGGAUCAAUUCAGCGGAAUACAAUUCACAAUUCACAAGUCCCAAUCCUUUUUCCCUCUUUGUGCAGUAAAAACAGAAUCAAACAAUGAACAAAUAUAAUGCAACAAUCACACAAAUCAACACCAAGAUUUUUUACGUGGAAAACCCGAUGCGGGAAAAACCACGGGACCGGAGUCCACCUAAAAACUUCCACUAUCACAAAUAAUGGGUUCACAAUUGUUCUUCCUCAGAUUCAACUAAGGGCUACAACAUAUAUAUCAUCAAGAAUAACUUAUUCUCGGAUUACAACAAGAUUAAAGGAGAAUUAUUUGAGAAAAACUCACAAUACUGACAACCCCGUUUUCUGUCAAAACGGCCAGCUUCCACACCACCAAUCUUCAAUCCAACCGUUCAGAAUGAAGAGUAACGUGUCUAGAAGCUGCUGUCCAAAUCUCAGCCCGAUCCAACGGUGAACGAACUGGAAAUCAAAGAAAGAAGACAGACUGCUCUGCUGCCUCCUCUUCUUUCUUUCUCUCGGUUUUUCUCUGCUCUCUCGUUCUUUCUCUACUGCCUCUACAGUGGCAGUUUCAUUUUAAAUCAAAGAGGCAGCCAGCUGCCUCCUUAAUUAAUGUGGUGGUCCCCCCCCAUCACAUGGUGCGGGACCACACAACAGAUGGCAUCAGUCCAUGAUGGUGUUCGUCCUGAGAUAGCUGAGGCUUUGAUAUGUGGAAAGGAUUGGUGGUUGGACAGCCCUAACUGCAAGUAAGUUUUCCAUUUCUUUUUUCUCGAUUUAAGUGUCAUGCCUUUAUAUAUCUGCCAUCUGCUUAUUUAUUUCUUCUUCUUUUUUCUUCAGCAAUUGAUCCAUGUUUGGAUCCUCACUGGUAGUUGCUAGUACUGUGAAAUAAGUUUUUCCCAGGUAAACACUGGCCUUCUCUUUUAUUUCCAAGAACAAGAAUAUUUGUCAGCAGAGUGAAAAGUCAAAAUGCGCAUGUAAUCUGCAGUCUGCAUGAACAUUAAAACUAGGCUGGAAAGUAAUUCUGAAAUGAAAACACAUACUAUCAACUCAAUAGCUUAAACUGACGAGGUUUCAUAAUAUAAUUUAUAUUUAUAUUAUUUUUUAACACACCAUCUCAAGUGAAAACUCUUUGAACUUGAAACUUGCAUAGGCCCACAUUACCUUGUGUUUAAUUUUUAUCAAAUAAAUGGUAAUGGUGAGAUUCAAACUCAUGACCGCUUGGUCAUCAAGACUCUGAUACUAUGUUAAAGAAUCAUAUUAACCCAAUAGCUUAAGCUGCUAGGUGAGGUCCCAAGAUAUGAUUUAUAUUAUUUUCUAACACCCCCCUCAAGUGAAAGCCCUUUGAACUUAAAACUUGCACAUGCUCACUUUUUUUUUAUAUAAGAAAUUAAAAUUUUAGUAGCAUAAACGCUCCAAGCUUAAACCAUCCUUGAAACCAUAAAACAUGAUUUUUACAAGUCUAUAAUUUCAAAUGAUAUCUUCAGUACUCAAAUAAAUAGGGAUGAUGAGAUUUGAAUUCGUGACCGCUUAAUCAUUAAGGCUUUGAUACCAUGUAAAUAACCAUAUUAACCCAAUAGCCUAAGCUGUUAUGUGAGGUUCCAGAAUAUAAUUUAUAUUAUUUGUUAUCAGAAGAUACAUUAUUUUUCUAUGUUGUAGGGUCAACCAGGCUGAUCAUAUCUGACUUGGAUGCUGUAGAAGAAUACUAGACAUAAGUUAAGACUUAUUAUUUGCUUAAUUUUAUCAAGGAUUUGAAAAUAAAAAAACUUUGAAUAUAUAAAAAAUGAUUUGAAACUACUUUUGAGUGUGUUCGGCUUGAAAAAAAUAUAAAAUUGAUAUUUUGUUAGUGUUAUUUGAUGGUGUUAAUAUUCUAUAUUAAAAAUAAAAAAAAUCUGGAAAAAUUUAUUUUCAUAUAUUUUUAAUAAAAAAUUAUUUUUAAAAACCAUCAUAUAGGUUGUUUUUGUUACAAAAAUGUAUUAUUGUAAAACCCACUACACCACAGUUUUUGGCCCAAACCAUUAUUGUAAAAUGUAUUAUUAAAUUAUUAUGUUAAAAUGUAUUAUUAUGCAAGUAGGGUUUUAUAUCAAAUUAGAUAGGAAUUUGAUAUGCAAUCGUCAAUCAGUCCUAAUAACCACCAGUAUCACACCGAAAUUGUCAAAACACUCAGACUGUCUCCGUCAAAACCGGGAACGGGCUCGGCAGUUUGGGGGCACAAACCGGGAACGGGCUCGUCAAUAGUCCGGAUGAUAUUGUCAAUUGUAUUUCCGAACUGAGAAGGAAAAGGGAGGAUGAGAUGUGUGGUUGUGAAUUGGAAUUUGAAAUUUAUCUUUUUAAUUGUAUUUGUACUGUCUCUUUUUUUAAGAAAAAAAUCACGGUGGCCGUCAAAGUAAAAAUAAUAAUCAUAAUAAUGAUCGUUAUAUUAUUGUAAAUUAAUUUUUCAGCCCUUACUAAAUAAAAUAAAAAUAUUCGUCUCGUAAUAUCCAUAUCAAAUGUCUUAUGAUAGCCACUAAUUUAUUUUAAAGAUUUAUUAGAAUAUAUAUUUGAAUAUAAAUAACAUUAUUCAAAACUAACAACCUAAAUUAGAUUUAUAUCUUGAAUAAUAGAAGAAGAAAGUUGUAGAAAUUAAAGGGUUAAAUAAUUCAAAAUCAUUUUAAAUUCUUGGUCAUAGUAAUCUAGUCUCUAAACUUUAAUUUUCUUAUUCAAAUAUCAUAAACUAUUUCUUGGUAAAAAAACAAACUUUGAUCCUAAAUAUUUAUAACCACCGAUUCAAUGUGGGUUUUGCUGAGAAUUCCUAAAUAUUUGAUCCUUCUCUUGGAUUUAUAGUCUUAAAGGCUCAUAUCUGAAUUUUGUGCUCGUGCUUUCUAUAUUAUUUACUAUGAAGUUUGUUUAUUUUGCUGCUGUAACCCAUAAUCGAAUCUGGGUUGUGCUUAAAAUUACGAAAUAUUUCAUCUUUCACUCUAAUUUAGUCUUCAAGACCCAUGUCUGAAUUUUCAAUGACCUCAGAACCUUUCAAUUCCAGUUUAUGUAGCAAAUCUGCUAUCAUAGUUUAUGUAGCACAAACUAUGCUCGAGAAUGCUGAUAAAGACAUGGAUGUUGUACUCUCUCCAUAUUCUUUAACUUCAUUUGAUUUGCUAACAGAAUCAAACAAUAUCAGGACGCCACGGAUUGAUUCUUUCUCGACAUCAUCAAAUUAGAAAAAUAAAUUAAUACAUGAUGUGUAAAUAUACUAAACAAUCGAAAUAAUAUUAUUUGUGGCUGGUGUUUUUGCCUGCUAUUUAUGUUAAUUUAACAGGCAAAUUUCACCUUGUAAUACACACACUUGUAUUUUAGCUCCACAGUGGGUUAAUAUUAUUUUUAAAAAAAUAUAAAAAAAUAUUAAGAAUAUAAAAAAUAUUUUAAAUACUUUGGACUUGGGUUUCCCAAGGUGCUUGGGCUAAUAUAUUUUUGGGCUUUGCUUGACAUUAGUUAACCCGGAAAUAUAUAUAUAUAUUAGUUUUUAAUAUUUCAUAUAAAAAAAUUAAAACAUAAUCCAUAUAGACAUAAGAUAAAAGACUAUUUCAAAAGGUUUCAUUGAAAAGAUAUUAUCUUAUUUUAUUAAAUUGGAAUAUUUAAACUAAAAAGAUUUUUUUUAUUUUACAUUAAAAAAACACAACUUUUUGUUUUUAUGAAUAUUUGAAAAAAAUCUCACAAUUGUGAUAUGGGUUAGUAACUAUCUAAAAAAGAUAUAAGAAAAAAAGGAUCUCUAGGAGGGGGAAAACACAUUUGAAAGAUAAAUGUCUCUACCGAGUUUUGAUGGGUCACCCAAGUCUCGGGUUAACCCACUAUGCUGGACCGGGUCUGAUAACUAUUCUUAAACAACAAAAAGUGAGCUUGAGAGUGUUAAUUAUAACUUAUUCCCUUCUUUUCUAGUUCAAUAAAACCAAUUAAUUGGUCCUUAAAAUUUCAAAAUAUAGAUUUAGGUUUAUUUUUGCACUGUUAUUUUUAAAUAUUUUUUAAUUUUAUUUUUGACUCAAGCGUCUGAGCUUAACAACCAGGUCAGACCCAUUCGCCUUUUUUUGAAUGUCAGGCCUAAAAUGCUUGGGUCUAGUAGCCAUGUGAGACCAAAGUAAGUUAGGUCUGACAUGAUUGUCAAACCGAAUGUGUUUUUGUUGGCAUAGUUGUCAGAUCUAAGUCCCUUGAGACCAGAAUAGUUGCCAAACCCAAGUAUCUUGAGCCUGACAUAGUUGCUAGAUCUAGGCGUGAGUCUAACGUUAUUGCUACAUGCAUCCCUAAAAUUCAUUUAAUUUUUUUUAUAGUAAUAUCUAAUUUUAGUAAAGAAAUUAUCUAUAAAAUUGUACAAAUUAAAAUAGUCAAAAGAACAAUAAAUCUUUUAAAUAUACAAUAUUUUUUCCCCAUGACAUAAUAUAUCAAUUCAAAAUUUAUCCAUUAUGAUCAUAUAUUUAAAAUUUUCAUAUAUAUUAAUAGUUAUAAUAUAGAAUAAACUCCCUGUUGCUGUUGGAUUGCUUAUGAAAAUGGACAACGCAGGUUGCCAACCGAAUGUUGUCACAUACAGUACGCUUAUUGAUAGCCUUUGCAAGGAUAGACUAGUCGAAGAGGCUUUAGAUAUCUUCUCUGAAAUGAAAAGUAAAAGGAUUCAACCGAAUGUUGUCUCUUACAAUUCCUUGAUGCAUGGUCUAUGCAAUUCAGACCAGCAGGAAGAGGCGUCAGCAUUGUUCAAUGAAAUGACGAGUUUCAUCAUCAUGCCAGAUGCAGUUACCUUCAACAUUUUGGUCGAUACACUUUGUAAAAAGGGCAAGAUUUCAGAGGCUCAAGGAAUAGUCAAGACAAUGAUUGAGAAGGGUGUGGAGCCUAGUACCGUGACUUAUAGUUCGUUGAUGAAUGGAUAUCUUUUGCAAAACAGAGUUUUUGAAGCUAGAAAGGUAUUCAAUGCGAUGAUAACCAGGGGCUGUAUACCUGACGUUCUUAGUUACAACAUCUUAAUCAAUGGAUGCUGUAAGGCCCAGAGGAUAGAUGAGGCAAAACAAUUUUUUGAUGAAAUGAGUUUUCGAGGCUUAAUUCCAAAUACUGCUACUUACAACACUCUUGUAAGUGGUUUGUCUCAAGCAGGGAGAAUUUUUGAAGCAAAAGAGCUUUUCAAGAAUAUGCAUGUCCAGGGCUGCAUGCCUAAUGUUCUUAGUUACAACAUCUUAAUCAAUGGAUCUUGUAAGGCCCUGAGGAUAGAUGAGGCAAAACAGCUUUUUGAUGAAAUGAGUUUUCGAGGCUUAAUUCCAAACACUGCCAGUUACAACACUCUUAUAAGUGGCUUGUUUCAAGUUGGGAGGAUUUUGGAAGCAGAAGAUCAAGCUUUUCAAGGAUAUGCUUGCCCAGGGCUGCUCCCCUGAUCUAGUAACUUACUCAAUUUUUCUUCAUGGCUUAAGCAAACAAGGUUACCUUGAUCAGGCAUUGGAACUAUUACGAGAAAUGCAAAAUAAUUACUUGAACCCUGAUUUGGUGAUCUAUAAUAUCUUAAUUGAUGCCAUGUGCAAAUCUGGGAAGCUUGAAGAUGCAAGGGAGCUGUUUUUGAAACUCCAUGUCAAAGGAUUGCUGCCUGAUGUUCGAAGUUGGAC